Molecule: long non-coding RNA, 46126 nt
Filed under: Citrus maxima (pomelo)
Lineage: Eukaryota; Viridiplantae; Streptophyta; Magnoliopsida; Sapindales; Rutaceae
Description: long non-coding RNA (CMAX_LNC000691)
Source: RNAcentral
UCAAUAUAUGGUCCAACUAGAUGCCUCGUGACUUUUCUCACCCGACUAACAGCGAGUCAAGAUAUCUACACCGUCACCGUCACUGCACUUACCGCAUUCAGAAUUUUCAGAUCCACCUGUCCAUAACCUUCCCCAGGUCACUGCCACCGGAGUCCCCGCCACCACCAUAGCUCCAAUCGCCAUCAGUCCCUAAUUACCAAAUCACCAACCCAACAGCUCACAUCCGCCUAACAGGCCGAUAUCCUUCGUUUGAUAUUUUUCUUUUGUUUUUCUUUUAUUUAUUUUGAGUCUCCUAAUUAUUUUAUGUUUUAAUUUUUUUCUAAUUUUUUAAUUUUUCUAUUUCCUUUUCUUUAUGGUGCUUGUUUUCUGCUCCCGAGAUCUUUUAUAUAUGAUCGUAAAUGGUGUCGAUUCACAGUUUGGAUCAGAAUCGUAGCAGUGUUGAGAUGGAGAGAGUUUGCUUAUAUUGGAGUUGAUGAAUAAUUCUUUUUUUUCGUUUACCAUCUGAUUUCCAGCGAUGGUCCCGACUAAUCCUUUGAGAUAUAAUCACAGUUAAGAUUCCUUAUUCUUCUCAAAUGAUAUAUUUAGUGGAAAUCAAACUCGAGAGUUGAUGAAUAAUUCUAAUGGUGGUGCAAUGAGAUUUCGAUGACCUGGCCAUGUCGCUGAUGGCAUGGGUUGAGGCCUCAUCGAGAGUCAGGCUGGGAAUACUUGAAAUGAAGUGGUUAUCAUUGCUGAGGUUUUGUAGUUUUUUAGUUCUGUUUUGUAGUUAAUUAGCAUUAUGUUGUGGUGUAUUCUAUUAUUUUUUAUAUUCUUAUUUUCUUAUCCCAUAUAUUGUGCAAUAUGGUCUUGUAUUUAUGUCUAUAAUAUAUUAUAUUGUUAGUCAUUAUUAAUCUUCAAUGAUUGUGUUUGUAUAAAUAUAUAUAUAUAUAUAUAUAUAUAUAUAUAUAUAUAUAUAUAUAUAUAUAUGUAGCAUAUUCCAAGAAGGUUUUGACAAAAAAAAAGUUGUUUGGUCCACUGAAAACUGUACCUGGCUAAGACAAAAUCCGCUGUAAAUACGUGUCCUUGUUUAAUCAUCAUCUCGAACGUCAUUCUAUCAAAGUGCAAGCCCUAUUUAAACCUCCCACCAUGUGCACUCAGACUCGAGUGUGCACGCAAAUGCCAAAAAACAAGCACAUGGAGCAGCAACAGCAACCCCACUUUCUACUAUUAACAUUUCCAAUACAAGGCCACAUUAACCCAUCCCUCCAAUUCGCCAGGCGUCUUACGCGCAUUGGCACACGUGUCACCUUCGCCACCACCAUCUCCGCCUACCGCCGCAUGGCCAAUAAUCCCACGCCCGAAGACGGCUUGUCGUUUGCCAGCUUCUCCGAUGGAUAUGACGACGGAUUCAAUUCCAAACAAAAUGAUCUGACGCACUACAUGUCGGAGUUCAAGCGUCGUAGCUCCGAAGCCUUGGCUGAGCUCAUCACGGCCAGUCAAGACGAGGGUGGUCAACCGUUUACUUGCUUGGUUUACCCUCAACUCCUUCCUUGGGCUGCUGAAUUGGCGCGUGCGUAUCACCUCCCUUCGGCGCUAUUCUGGCUUCAACCAGCCCUCGUUUUCGACGUUUAUUACUAUUACUUCUAUGGAUAUGGCGAUCUAAUUGAAGGGAAGGUUAAUGAUUUGAUAGAGUUACCGGGACUGCCUCCACUCACCGGCCGUGAUCUUCCUUCUUUCCUAGAUCCCAGAAAUUCAAAUGAUGCUUACUCUUUCGUAUUAAAUUCUUUUAAAGAACAAAUGGAGGCAAUUGUUCAAGAAACCGAUCCAAGAAUUCUUGUCAACACGUUCGACGCAUUAGAAGCUGAGACCUUGAAAGCUAUCGAUAAGUUCAAUAUGAUCGCAAUCGGACCGUUAGUUGCAUCGGCGUUGUUGGACGGAAAAGAGCAGUACGGAGGCGAUCUUUGCCAGAAUAGUUCAAUAGAGUAUUAUAUGGAAUGGCUAAGCUCGAAGCCCAAAUCAUCUGUUAUCUACGUGGCGUUCGGAACCAUAUGCGUUCUGGAGAAGCGUCAAGUGGAGGAAAUUGCACGGGGGUUGUUAGAUAGUGGCCAUCCAUUCUUGUGGGUCAGUAGAGAAAACGACAAUAAAGAUAAAGAUAAAGAUGAAGGAGAAGAUGACGUGAUGAUGAAGUACAAAGAAGAGCUGAAUGAGAAGGGAAUGAUAGUGCCGUGGUGUUCACAAGUGGAGGUUCUGUCACAUGAAGCGGUGGGGUGUUUUGUAACGCACUGUGGGUGGAGUUCGAGCUUAGAAAGCUUGGUAUAUGGCGUGCCUGUGGUGGCGUUUCCUCAGUGGACAGAUCAAGGGACAAACGCUAAAAUUAUUGUGGACUUCUGCAAAACCGGAGUGAGAGUGAAGGCAAAUGAAGAAGGGAUUGUAGAAAGUGAUGAGAUUAACAGGUGUUUGGAGUUGGUGACCGGAGAAGGAGAUGAUUUUAGAAGAAAUUCUUUGAAAUGGAAGGAUUUGGCCAGAGAUGCCGUCAAACAAGGAGGGUCUUCACAUAAGAAUCUCAAGGCUUUUGUUGAUGACUUUAGCACCAGCAAGUAGUUUUAUCUUUUUGUUUUUUCCUCGUUUUUACUCUUUGAAUAUCAGAAGAUUUAAUAUAUAGAAGAAAGACAUUUGUAACGAUUUUUACCUUUUAUCUUCAUCUGUCCUAUGGCAUGACGGUUAAGCGACCAUCAUUAAUUUGGUGUCAAGAAAAUUUGAUGACGGAUUUUAUAUGUCAUGCAAUGCAUGAUAUAUUAUCCAUUACGAUUCUAUCAUAAAUAUUUUGAUAAUAAGUUAUCAUGCAUGACUAACAUUUAUUAUAAUCACUUUCAAAGCAUGACUAAUAUCUAUCGCAAGAGAAUGAUACAUAUAAAUGAAUUUGGCUGGAAUUCCAAAAUCUAAAUAAAUUUGGCGAAAUUUUAAAAUUUUUAAAUGAGUUGGGCUGGAAUUACAAAAUUAUUUUAUUUAAUUAUUAAUUUAUUCAAUUAAUUGUAUUUAUUAUUGAAUUAAAUUUUAAUUUUGAAAUAUAUUCUUUUAUAAAUUAUUAUGAUGACGAUGAUAUGUGUAUAUGCUCCAAAAUUAUAUAAAUAUAUACAAAUUAAGAAUUUAAAAUUAAUUAAACUACAUAAUAAUAACAUGAAUAUAUUAUUUGUUCUUUUAAACUAAAUACAAUUACUAUCAAUCACAUAAUAUGAACAAGAACAUCAUUCAUUCUUAGGCUACAUCAAACUCCAUAUUUCCACUAAAAACAUAAAAAUUCCAGCUUUUGAGAGAUGAUCGGUACAAACGCUGCAUGUUAACUUAACUAGCAAGCAAAAACCUAAAGCACCUCAUCAACCAACUACAGUCUAACAAAUUAUGUGACGUUCAUGACAAAAUCCAGCAUGGGGUCCUUAGAUCCAAAACACAAUUUAGUUGCCGGCCACCUAGAAUUUCAAUUAAGAGAAAAAAAACAUCAGUUGGAUAAUCUCAAAAACCAAGUUUCCAUCAAUUUUAUCUUUGCAAAAUGCACUAGGAUUAUUGUUAGGAAUUUGGUGGGUGAAGCAGAACCAUAGUUAAAAUGAAAUUGGAAGAAAAAAUAAAGAACAAGUAGAAAGAGGACACCAAGAAAUUACGUGGUUCAGCUUUUAGUCUACAUUCACGGGCAAAGACAGAAGGAAAAUAUUUUACUAGUGAUAUGAGAAUUACAAGUAUUGUAAUAUUUUGGCUCACUACCCAGAACCCUAAUACACCCAAUCUCUCACUCACUAGACUCACAAGAGCUUUAUAAUUUAAACCUUUAAAAUUACCCAAGCUCCCUGCUUUCUCUCUCACAAAUUUUUUAUGCCAAAACGAAAUGGGGAGCUCUAUAAUUUUUUUUCUCACCGCCAUUAUCUUCUUCAUUCUUCUUUUUCCUUCUUCAAAGAACGCUACUGCCAAAUUCCAUUUUUUCGUCGUCUUUCAUUUUGUCUUUGUUCAAAUUUGGCAGCUUCAACUCUUCCUUUUUCUUCUUCCUUGUUUUCUUUGGGCCGCAACUUCCCCUUCAAUAUUUGCUACUUCAAAGUUUCUUCAUUCUUCUAGAUUGGUGGCUGUCAAAGCCAAUUUGAAUUUGGCUUGUUAAAGCCACCGGCUUUGUCAGCCAUUAUUUUGACAAUUAUUUGCUUUAAUAAACUUCAAUAUGGCCUCAAAUUGACGUAUACAAUUUGAGAAAGUACAACACCAACAAAACUCUCAAUUAUCUUAAUGUAGUCUUAUUGUACCUAACCGAUAACUUUCAACGUAAAACAUGAACUAUAAAAAGCCUCAAACAUAUAUAUUUCACUUUAAACACUUUAUGAACUAAUAAAGUAAUAGAGUACAGUCUAGAAAAUUAUUUACAAAUUUAUAACUGCCAUAAAACUUAAACCCUUAUGUGGUGUAAAAUUAAAUUUUAAGAUCUAAAUCCCUAACAUAACUUCAAUAAUUAAAAAAAAAAACCUAGAAAUGAUCAAUAAAAGUUUUCUUUCUAAUUUUCAAAUUCCAUUCACAAUAAUUUAAUUCUAACUUAAUAAGAAACAAAAACAUUCAAAUCAUUAUAAUAAAUGUUCAUUCUAAAAUAUCACUUCCUAAGAACACAUAAGAGUUGGGACAGAGGAGACGACAUAUCGGAGCUAGUGGAGAUAUUAGUAGCAGAUGUAGUAGAGAAGUGAGCAUGCACCGAGUAGAAGGGGGUUAGUUCAGGUCGUUUGGAAUUGGAGGCUGCUAGUUCUAGUUUGGCUCCUUUGGAGAAAUUGAAGGGGGGUUGUGCGAGUUAAAAAGAAAGACGUUUGGCAUUUGGGUUUUGUUUUAAAUUAAGGUGGAGGUGCAAUUAGUCAUAAAAGAGGGUUAACUUAAAACAAUUUAAUUUUAAAGUGUCAAUUAUAUUUAAAAGUUCAUGACAAAUGUCUAUCAUAGUGCACAAACACCGUCGAAUAAUCAAAUCAUGUAAAAAUCAAUGUUAUAUUACAAUGGUAUUUUUGUAAUUAAAGUUAUUAUAGAAAACUUAAAAUAAUUGAAUUAAUAAUAAAAAAACGACGCCAUUGCAUACCAUGCCUGUCAUGGCUUGAAACGAUGUCAUUUCAAUCUAUGACAAUGCCUGUCAUGCUUCGCAAACAACGUUAGAUGGUAUCGUAAAACGACUUGUCAUUUUAAUUUAUUAAAAAAAAUCAACAUUACAUAUAUCUAUCAUUUACUUAUGUCAGUAAGUUAUAAGUCACGAAUAAGUCAUGUAAUCUUGACAUAUAAUUAUAUGUCACGAACAUGUCAUACACAUACAUGAUAUAUUUGUGACACAAUGUUAUCUGUUAAAAAAAUUGUCAUUAAUUUGCGUUUCUUUAGUAGUGUUUAGGAUCAUAUGAUAUAUGAUAUGGUAAGAGAUGAUAUAAUUAAAUAUUGUAUUUGUGUAUGUUUAGUUGAAUUUUGUAUGAUCAUUAAUUAUAUGUUUUUCAAAAUAAAUAUACUUAUGUCAUAUAAUAUUAUUUAUUUAUUAUCAUCAUAUUUAUAAAAAAAUUUAGCAUGCAUUGCUCUUUUUAUUAUUAUUGUUAUCAUUUUAUACGUGGACAUACCAUUAUAUAUAUGGAAUAAUGAAAGUGAAUCAGCUUCACAAUAUCACCUAGCAAAUACAUGAAAUGGUGGAUCGGUACCCUAGUCUCCAGAGUGAUGCUAUAUAUUUAUAUAUAUGCACUUCACUCCACAAUAUCAGCCAGCAAGUACAUGAAAUGGGGUGAAUUAGUACCCUAGUCUCCAGAGUAAUGCUAUGUGUGUGUGUGUGUGUGUAGACACUUGUACAACUAUGUGCUGAGAUAAAUUUGAGCUUUAUGCCCUUUAUCUUACAUUUCCAAGUAAAAAAAUUCAUUAGAUAAAAGUUUGAGAUUUACCUUAAUUGGCCAUGAAUCCAAAUUUUAUUAUCUAGCUUGCCUCUUACUCGUGAAUCCAACAUUUUUUUCCUCUAAUUUGCAGUGAUUCUACCUUAAAUUUCAGCUGCAAAAUCAAGCUCACUAUGCACACAAACACAAUCGGCCAAGAGGGAGGGAUAGAGAGAGAGGUGCACUGUACUCAUACCCCAGAUUCUAUGAAUAGUGAACUCCGAAUAAGCUGAAGGCACUUAAAUAUUAUAGCUGAGUGCAGGGAUCCCUCAUGUGUUAGUACAAAAUUGCCCAUUCCAUUAUGAGCUAAAAUAACACAAUUGAAGGUUAUACUUGCCCAUAAUGGACUACUAUAUAGGGUAUGACAAAAUUAGACUCAUUAACAUAAUAUUUGAUCACUUAAUAAAUGAGUUUGUCAAAAGUACUCUUUAAUAUUUGACAUCAGUCACAUAUUAAUCCGGUAAAACAUGAAAAAUAAUUAGAAUGAUCUAUGCCAAUCUACAAUAUGUGAGAAAUAAAUCUAACACAAUGUGCAAACUACAAGAAAAGUAAUUUUUUUACUUACUUGUACAACUAUGUACUAACCGUUUUUAGGCAGAAAAGAUUUUUGUUCAAUCAAGUCAUCAAUAAUAAACAAAAAUAAGUGUAUAACUUUUCUAAUGGCAAAAUAACUAUUAAAAAUAGCUUCGAAUUUGGUUGUUAAUAAAUAAACUUUAGUAUAAAACAGUAGUAUCAUUAUUAAAUAGUGGAGAAUGCAUAUUUAUAAAGGGUAAAAUUAUCAUUUUUUAUUCCAAAUCUCACUAACAUUUCAACUUUUACGUGUUUAAAUCCUCUAACCUUUUAUUAUGUGCGUUUUAUUAUAAUUUAAAUAUUUUAUAUAUUUUAGGGAUAUUUUGGCCAUUUCACAACUAACGAGAAGUCGGACAACAAAACGGAUGGCAUUUUUAAACUCGGAACGAUCAAAAACCAUAAGAGCAUCACAUGUAUGGUAUUAUUCAUUUAUACGAUACGUUCACAUAUGCAGUACUAUUCACAAGUACGACACUGUUCACAUUUACGGGUCGAAGAUGUGGCAUUGACCAAUGAUGUGCCAACAUCCUAUUGGACCAACAAUGUGGCAUUGACUGAUGAUGUGGCAUUGAUCGAUAAUGUGUCAAGAUGCUAUUGGACCAAAAUACUGACGUGGCGUUGACCGAUGACAUGGUAGCAUCUUAUUGGACUGAAAUGUUGAGGUGGUGUUAAUUGAUGAUAUGUUUCAGUCAAUCAAAACUUGUCACGUGGCACAAUCCUCAACAUCCGAAUUGUUUUCAUUCGAUAGCCAUGAUUUACCCAUUAUAUCUAUAAAUAGAGGGCUCUCUCCCUACUAAUUUGACAUCCCUAAAUUCAUUUUUUGGCUCUUUUUUCUAUAGUUACCAUUUUACCCUUAGUUAUAUAUAUAUAUAUAUAUUCGUUGGAAUAUCAAUUAUUAAAAACUCAAAUUAAACAAUGCUUGGAUUGGGUCGGCGUUGUCCAAUUUUAUAAGUAAUUACCAGCUUUGAAAUAAGAAUCUAAUGAUGGUGAUAAUGAAGAACAAAGACUUGACAACAUUGAAUCUGUGCCAAGUGAUUUUCUGUUUGUUUUAAAAUAAAUCACCACCAGAAAAUAUUUGAUUAAAGUCACUUUAAUCUUUUCAAAUGAUUUUGCUAUAGACGCCAUUGCCCUUUUUGACACUGGUGCUGAUUUAAAUUGCAUAAGAGAAGAUAUUGUCCCUAAAAGAUUUCAUGAGAAAACUAAAGAAAGACUUUCUGCGGAGUCUAACUGUUGAUCACGGUGAACCUCCUGUCCAGAUUAGAGCCUCUCCUUACAAAAUUCCUAAACCUAAUGAUUCUGAUGCAAAUUUAAGUAGUAUUAUCCAACAGAAUAAUUUCUGUAAUACUAACUUAAAUACCAUUGGAAAACAGUUGAGUAGGAUAGAAAAUCAAUUCCAAAAGUCAACCAUAGCUGUUUCUUCUACUCCUAUUCCAUCAAAAUUGGAUUCUGACAAGAAGCUUAAAGAGCCUAUUUUCAAACCUUUUUAGGUUUCGAAAACUAGUCAAAAGCUUAUUCAUGAGUCAAAAUCAGAUUUUGCUAAAGCCAUUAGAGAACAACUAGAUAGGAUAGAAGCUGCUUCUUCCUCAUCUAGAAAAGUUCAAAUAGCUCCUGAUACUCCUCAAUCUAGCAAGAUUGGAGUAUUAGAACAAGACAAGAUGUCUGACCAAAUGUCUAUUACCUCUUCUGAUAUAGAAGCCUUUAAAGAAAAACCUAUUCCUAAAGCCAAUAAAAUCCAUUGGGAAUUAGCCCUUCCCAUUGUAAAGUCUCCACCUGAUUUGACCAUAGACAACAGGCCUAGUGCAUUAAACCAAUCUCGAUAUAAUGCAUCCUCUGUCUAUGAGUGGAAUUUAGAUGGAAUGUCUGAGUAUAACAUCUUAGGAUUGUUGCAACAGAUGACCAUGGCAGCUAAUGCAUAUAAAACCCAAUCAGGAACUUCUGACAAAGCCAUUGCAGAAAUCCUUAUUGCUGGUUUUACAGGUCAACUCAAAGGUUGGUGGGAUCAUCUUCUCACCCAACAGCAACAAUUAGAUAUUCUAAAUUCCAUACAAAUCGAUGAGGAUAAAAUACCCAUUUUUGAUGAGUUUAAUAACCCAAUUCAAGAUGCGAUUGCCACUCUAAUCCUCACUAUUUCUCUUCAUUUCAUAGGUGAUCAUUCUCACCUUAGAGAUAAAAACGCUGAGUUACUACAUAAUUUAAGAUGUAGAACACUUAGUGAAUUCCAGAGUUACAAAACUACUUUCUUUACCAGACUCUUUCUCAGAGAUGAUGCAAAUCAUAUAACUUGGAAAGAGAAAUUCCUUGCUGGUCUACCUACCCUUUAGGAGAAAAGGUUAGGAAUCCCAUUAAAGCCCUAUACGAUAAUCGUAUCCCUUAUGAUGAGCUCACCUACGGUGAACUUGUUAGUUUUAUUAACAAAGAAGGUUUAAAGAUCUGUCAAGAUUUGAAAUUACAGAAACGACUUAAAUGGGAGCUUAGGAAAUCUAAGCAAGAAUUAGGCAGUUUCUGUAAGUAAUUCAACUAUGACCCCUUUAAAACUUCUACCUCCAAAGGAUGUAAUGGUGAGUGUUCUUCCAAACCUCACAAAAGACAUUACAAAUCCAAAAGCCAUAGGAAGCCAUUCCAAAAUUUUAGAGAAUCUUCUUAUAAAAAACCCUCGAGGCCUUAUAAGAAGCCCAACUUCUCUAAGAAAAAGGAAUUUAAACCUAAACACAAAACCCCUUUCAAUUACAAAGAAGCCAUUUGCCAUAAGUGUGGCAUAAAAGGCCAUACUGCAAAGUAUUGCAGAAUGAACCGAAAACUUCACGAGUUAGGACUCGAUGAAGAAAUCCUCUCUAAAGUUGCCUCUCUUCUUGUAGAGUCUUCUGACUCUGAGUCUUCCAUAUCGGGAGACAGUGACUCCCUCCAAGUCGAUGAGCUAAUUGAUUCAGAUACUUCUGCAUAUAGCAGUAGUAAUUCUGAGUCAGAUUCUUAUUUAAAGAAAAUCAAUGUUUUGACAAAAGACCAAGAAAUUUUUCUUGAACUUGUUAAACACAUUUUUGACCCGAAUCUUCAAAAAGAAUAUCUUGAUAAGCUUUUAAAGACCCUGGAUUCUAAUAAAGCAGAAACUUCCAAAAUUCCAAUUGUUAAAAAGAGUUCUUAUGACCUCACCCAAAUUUUAGACAAAAAGAAAAUAAAGAAAACAACACCUAAUAUCCAAGAUCUUCAAAAGGAAAUCAAAGAUAUUAAACUCGAGAUAAAAGAGUUAAAAGAAAAGCAAAGAAGUGAUUCUGAAACUAUCCAACUUCUCCUACAAAAACAAUUACAGAACAAUUCAGAUAAAGAAUCUAAUGAUGGUGAUAAUGAAGAACAAAGACUUGACAACAUUGAAUCUGUGCCAAGUGAUUUUCUGUUUAUUUUAAAAUAAAUCACCACCAGAAAAUAUUUGAUUAAAGUCACCUUAAUCUUUUCAAAUGAUUUUGCUAUAGACGCCAUUGCCCUUUUUGACACUGGUGCUGAUUUAAAUUGCAUAAGAGAAGAUAUUGUCCCUAAAAGAUUUCAUGAGAAAACUAAAGAAAGACUUUAUGCCGCCAAUAAUUCAAAACUUAAAGUCAACUCUAAAGUUGAAGCUUCUAUUCAUAAUAAUGAUUUUGAAUUCAGAACUUCUUUUAUCCUUACAAAUGACAUACACCAUGCUGUCAUUUUAGGAACCCCAUUUAUAAAUUUGAUUACCCCAUAUACUGUCAAUUACGAUAGUAUAUCUUUUAAAGCAAAAUCCAAAAGCUUAUUUUUCCUUUUAUUGAAAAACCAAAAACAAGAAAUCUAAACAUUGUUAAAGCUUGCUCAGUUUAUCAAAACCAUAUCAAUGUCGUUCUUAAAUCUAAACAAAAUGACUUGUUUUGUUUAAAAAAGGAUUUAAGUUUACAAAGAAUUGAAAGACAAAUACAAAAUGACUUUAUACAAAGAAAAAUCUCUGAUUUUAAAAAUCUCAUCGAAAAAGAAAUAUGCGCUGAUUUACCAUCUGCUUUUUGGGAAAGAAAACAACAUCUGGUUGAUUUGCCCUAUGAAAAUUCUUUUGAUGAAAAAUAAAUACCCACUAAAGCUCGUCCAAUCCAAAUGAAUAUGGAAUUGGAACAACAUUGUAAAAAUGAAAUAAAGGAUUUAGAGUCAAAGGGACUCAUUGUAAAGUCCAGAUCCCUAUGGUCUUGUGCUGCUUUUUACGUAAAUAAAAAUUCCGAAACUGAAAGAGGAACACCAAGACUUGUAAUAAAUUACAAACCUUUAAAUAAAGCAUUGAGAUGGAUUAGGUAUCCUAUACCUAAUAAAAAAGAUUUACUCCAAAAACUGUGUUCUGCCCUUAUUUUUUCAAAGUUUGACAUGAAGUCUGGUUUUUGGCAAAUUCAAAUUCACCCAAAUGAUCGUUAUAAGACUACUUUUACUGUUCCAUUCGGACAGUAUGAGUGGACUGUAAUGCCAUUUGGCUUAAAGAAUGCACCCUCAGAAUUUCAAAGAAUAAUGAAUGACAUUUACAACCCCUAUUCUGAGUUUUGCAUUGUCUAUAUAGACGAUGUGUUGAUUUUUUCUCAAUCAAUUGAUCAACAUUUCAAACACUUAAAGACUUUCUAUUAUGCCACAAAGAAAGCUGGUCUAGCCCUUUCUAGUUCAAAGAUUUCAUUGUUCCAAACUAGAGUCAGGUUCCUAGGUCAUUAUAUUUCUAAAGGAACCAUAACUCCUAUUGAAAGGUCCCUUGCCUUUAUAGACAAGUUUCCUGAUAAAAUCCUUGAUAAGACUUAGUUACAAAGAUUUUUGGGCAGUCUCAAUUAUGUUCUUGAUUUCUGUCCCAACAUAAAUAGGAUUGCCAAACCAUUGCAUAAUAGGUUAAAGAAAACCCCUGUUGCAUGGUCUGAUGAGCAUACAAAAAUUGUUCAGCAUAUAAAGACCAUAGUAAAAAGCAUUCCAUGUUUAUUUCUUGCAAAUCCUACACUGCCUAAGAUUGUUGAAACUGAUGCAUCAGAUUUAGGUUAUGGAGGCAUAUUAAAGCAAAAAGAAAAUGAUAAAGAAUAGAUAGUACAAUAUGUUUCUGCACAUUGGAACGAUUGUCAAAAGAAUUAUUCUACCAUUAAAAAAGAAAUUUUAUCAAUUGUUUUAUGCAUCUCUAAAUUCCAAAGUGACUUAUUAAAUCAAAAACUUUUACUUAGGAUAGAUUGCAAAGCUGCAAAACAUGUUUUAGAAAAAGAUGUUCAAAACAUUGCAUCAAAACAGAUUUUUGCACGUUGGCAAGCCAUCUUAAGUGUUUUUGAUUUUGAUAUUGAAUAUAUUAAAGGUGAUACAAAUUAUAUUCCUGAUUUUCUAACUCGGGAAUUUCUUCAAAACAGAUAAUGCCGCCAAAAAGAAGAGACAAAGGAAAAGGCACUGCCAAAGACCCUGAACCUAAAGCCACUCCUAAAGACUCCUAAUCUUCUCCUCCUAAAGAAAAAUUACUAUCAUCUGCCAUGCCAAUCAAGUCUUGGAUUGACAUGAUCGAAGAUGACGAAGCAAGAUCUAAAGCCCUCUCUACCCAAGAGCAAGUACAUCAAUGGAUGAAAUCCAUUUCCAAAUCACCCGAGCUUAUGCUCGCCCUACAAAGUAGCUUUUCCCAAAGCCAAACACCUUCAAAAGACAUUUCUGAAAGAGAAAGCCCAAAAGAAAUUACAAAGUCCCUUUCCCAAAAUGUUGUUGUUUCUGGUGAGAGUUCGUCGUCACAGAUUGUUCUUUCACAACCAACACAAAAGACUUCGGUUUGGUUUGAUAAAGCCCAUUCCCAAAAUAUUUUAACUAUAGAAGAUGUGUUUUACCAUUCUGAUCCAUUUCAAACCCUUACAAAGUUUUUCCCUCAAGGCUGGUUUUUUAAACCAUGGGAUUUAACAAAACCCCAGCCUUACUAUCAAAGUAUUUUGGAAGCCACUGAAUCCGUUAAAUUCAAACAUUUUUUCCUCAGUGACUCCCAUUCUGAGCCGGCCUAUUCAACGGCUACAAGUUUAAAAGUUUUGAGCCCAAAAUAAUGGGGUGAUCUACUCCAUAAUCAAAAAAGAUUUCCCUCCAAUUUUCAAAUGUGUUUACCACAUUGUUUGACUUUCUCCUACUGGGAUUAUCAACAAGCCUGGUACAACACAUUUUUCUUACAAAACCCUAAAAAAUCCCAUUCAUGGUUAUUUUUCUUUAAUUCCAAAAUAACCAUACAAAACCUUCCUAAUUGGUUUAAACAAUGGUGGAACCAUUUUGGCCCAACUCCUGAUAUCCUUACACCAAAUGCCACCCACUGUUUAAAUUUGUUCAAAGCCCAUUAUACUCCCUCUGAAUCAGAAAAAAGGUUUUCACAUUUCUUCUGUUUUUGUACAAACUUCUUUCUUCCUUGGGUUUGGAUGUGGAACCUCAAUUACCACACUCAAGAUGCCCAAAUUAUCCUACAAAGAACCUUUAAAGUAAAAUGGUGGUCAAAAUUUGAUGAACAGUCAAAAUUGACUGACAAUUUGGUCCGAAAUUGGCUCUCUGCCAAAGGACUUCUCCAACCAACCAUUAAUCAAUCCAAAGCCCAACAAACUUUCUUGAGCCAAAAAACCAAAGCCCAAUCUCUCCUUGCCAGCGCCAAGACUGAAGAAGAAUACUUCACUGUCAUGCAACAACUUCUCGCCACAAGAUCAGAGACAUCUGUUGCAUCUUCCUCUUCAAGCACUUCAGGAGAUGAAGAACCUUUUAUUUCUCUUGGUAAUGAAAAUGAAGAUGACUGCUUCGGCAUUUUCUCUCCAAUAAAGCAUUAAAACUGUUUUAAAGCCAAUUUACCACUUUACUUAUUUGUAUCUAUGUACAAGUUUUGUACUUAAAAAAAAAAAAGAUAUUUAUUUUUCCUGAUCUUCUUCGGGUGGUCCCCUAGACACAAGUGAGAGCGCACAUGUCUCUUCACCCGUAUUCUACUACAAAGCCUACUGUAUGCUACAGCCCCUGUAUAAGUCUACAGUGCAGAGUUCCAGAUGUUACUGUGCACUUAAAACUCCGCUACAGUGAACAGUGCAGAGUUCCAGAUGAUACUGUGCACUUAAAGCUCCGCUACAGUAAACAGUUAAAAUUUUUUUUUUUUGUAUAAAAACCGAGAGGAAGACUUAGACUCCUCAGGUUUUUCAUUUUUAGGUUUACAACUUCUCUCUCUUCUUCUCCUCCUUCUCUCUAGAAUUCUCUCUCUCUCUCUCUCUUCUUUCUCUCUCUCGGGAUUAAAAAAGAUCUUCUGUAUUCAAGGAAUUUUCCCUAAGUUCCUUGUUUUCAGACUAUUUUCCGAUUUUCCACUCAUAAAGCUGUCGAAUCAAAAGAAAUAAAGAAAUAAAUGUAAAGUUAUUUUAAAGCAAUUUCAAUUUCAUGUAUAUUUAAAUUUCCGCAUUUUAAAUUUUUGCAAUUUACUUUUCUGCAAUUUACUUUAUGUAAUUUAAAUUUCUACAAUUUAAUUUUAAAGCAAUUUCAAUUUCAUGUAUAUUUAAAUUUCCGCAUUUUAAAUUUUUGCAAUUUACUUUUCUGCAAUUUACUUUAUGUAAUUUAAAUUUCUACAAUUUAAUUUUAAAGCAUUUCUCUUUUACAAAGCAUGAUUGCAGACUGAUCUGUAUCAGAUCUGCCAUAAAAAUUGUACGUUCCUCUGAGGCAAAGAGACCAGAUCUCGAUCCUCAGUUGUAAAUCUUCUCUUCUCCCUCCAUUCCUUCAGAGCACCAUUUCCGGGAACCGAAUCUGGUACUGUGUAUGCACCCUAGCCAUAGAUGAAUGUUGUUGCUAGGCUUUCUUAAAGAACUUAACAAAUAUUUGGUAAAUAUAAUUAGUAUAUAGGCUAGAAACUAGAACGUGCGGAAUAUUGAUCUGUUCUAAGUCAGAUCUGGUUCCCAAGACAGACUUGUCUCUGCAUCGAUCUAGAUACAACGCCACGUACCUUUAUUAAAACUUGAACAACCGCGUUCCAAAGCAAAUCUAUUUAUUUCAAAGCUGGUAAUUACUUAUAAAAUUGGACAAAGCCAACCCAAUCCAAGCAUUGUUUAAUUUGAGUUUUUAAUAAUUGAUAUUCCAACGAAAGCACAUCCAUCAUUCGAUCCUAUUUCCUUCUGGUAUAUAUAUAUAUAUAUAUAAAAUUUUUUUUUUUACUUUCGGACUUAAUGUGGUUGUUUUGACUCAUUGUCAACAAACAAUGUAUCUUGUCUAGAUUUUACUCAGCAUACCAACUCUCUAGUGAAAGAUCAUUACUGUCUGGCACAAUGAGCACUUAGCACCAUAUUUAUUAAAGGAAAAUUUUCCUCUAGCAUUUUAUGGGUCAUAUUGACUCAGUAUCGAGAGAUUGCAUCUAAGCUAUUUAGUGGGUGGUCUUGCCACAUUGUUGAAAGAAGGAUUAUUAUUGUCUGGUAUAGCGUGUUCUUGACACCACACUUAAUGGACGAUCAUUACCCUCUAGCACACUGAGCUCUUAAUACUAUAUUUAUUAGAGUGAGGAUUUUCAGGAGUGGCAAUACUUAAAAUACUAGCUAUGCAACUUAAGAUGAGGGUGAAUUAGGUUUGAAAAAAAAAUUAUGUUAUGCUUGCAUAAAAGUUAAUGCAAAUCUUAAACAAAUUCAAAACAAUAGUAGAUAAACCAAUCAAAAAGUAAAGAGAUAAGGGAAAAGAAUUUCAAACACAAAUUUUUAUGUCGUUUGGCCAACCCUGCCUACGUCCACGCCUCCAACCUCACCGGGCUUGAGGAUUCUAUUAUUCAAGCCUCCAAGGCUUCAAUACCUUUUACAAUUGACUUCACAAAUGUCAAUCAACCUUUACAAUAAGAGAUUGUCCCAAAUCUCUUAACCUAAGUAUAUCUCACACUCACAAUCACUCGAAAAUAAAGAUUACAAAAGAGUUUUCCCUCACACAACAUAUAUGUUUACAAGUGAAAGCUCAAAGUGUGAUUCAACGAAACAAUGACAAGUUUAAAGCUCAGUAAAGAUUGUUUACUCAGUAGUAAGCUCAACUAUGACUGUUAGAUCACUUUUUAUUUGAAUUUGAUUGAGUCAUUUUAUGGUCGCUGCUGAAAAACUAGCCGUUGUUGACUUUCUGCAUACAAUUAGAUCGCCGUUAGCCUUUAACCAAUUGCCAUUUUGACUUAAGCAAGUGACUAUAAUUUCAAAUUGUUGGAUCAUCAUUUUCUAGAUGUUGAAUCGUCGUUAGUUUCCAAUGUAACACCUUAGGUGAAUCCCACAUCGGCAAAGCACGAGAGAGAUGCUGGGUUUAUAAGGGGUGAUUCACACCUUAAUUGGCAAGAAGCGUUUUGGGAUGUAUAGGCGCCCCAUGAACAAAAUCGUGCUGGCUUUAUUAAGGGCUAAAACGGACAAUAUCUUGCCAGGUCUGGGUUGGGUCAUGACAUUAUGGUAUCAGAGCAACUCCACAUGUCCUCUUGAACGAUAGUAGGACAAACCUCAGCGAGAACGCUAAGUCCCCAAAGGGGGGGUGUAUGUAACACCCUAGACAAAUCCCACAUCGGCAAUGCACGGGAGAGAUGUUAGGUUUAUAAGGGGUGAUCCAUACCUUAAUUGAUAAGACGCGUUUUAGGGUGUAUGGGCACCCUAUAAACAAAAAUUUGCAGGCCUUGUUAAGGGUCAAAGCGGACAAUAUCUUACCAGGUCUGGGUUGGGUUACGACAUUAUGGUAUUUUAGCGGCUCAGCGUGUCCUCUUGAGCGAUUGUAGGGCAAACCUCAACAAGGAUAUUGAGUCCCUAACGGGGGUGUAUGUAACGCCCUAGGCGAAUCCCACAUCGGCAAAGCACGAGAGAGAUGCUGGAUUUAUAAAGAGUGAUCCACACCUUAAUUGGCAAGACGCGUUUUGGGGUGUAAAGCUAACAAUAUCUUGCCAGGUCUGAGUUGGGUCAUGACAUCUAGUAACUUGCAAAAGAGAUAUCGACUUACCAUAUUUCCAGAAGUCUAUUUGCCGUUAGUGUCCAGAAUUUAAACUUCAAAUUUUACUCAAUAUCGGUUAGUUGUUUAUAUACUAAGGGUUAGUCGAUUGCGUCCAGAGAGGAUGUAAUCUUGCCUUAAUUAAUCGGUUAGCCCUUUUUUAGCAAGCAGGAAACCAUUUAUUACCAAAAUUUUAUUCUAUGCUCAAUUCAUUGUGUGGCUUAAGAAAUUUGGACUAAAAAAUAUAUAACUCAAUGAAGAAAAAAAAAAGUUAUAUACUUGGUAUCGUCAUCUUGUUAUAGCACUCAAAUAAAUGAAGUUUUAUCUUAAAGCUAUACCAGAUAUAUAGAUGCAAUACCAUCAGUUAACAUUCAAAGAUUAUGGGAAACUUUAAUACGACAUCAACUAAUCAAUUAGGUUUCAUUAGCCAACACAAAAUAACUAAAAACAGAACAAAUUCUGUGAAAAAUUAAUCUAAAAAUCUUUGAAAAGUAAUUGCUUUUGUACUAGGAAUUAAAAGUAAAAAGGAAAAGCAUUCCACACACUUUGACAUUCUAUGAAAUAUCUCAUAUACUUCAUUUUUUGUCUCGACCUCUCAACAACAGUCAAAAAAUUUUCAAAGAGCCAACUUCGACCUCGUGAAUUUAGAUUUAUAUAAGUAUAUACAAAUCGACAACAGGUCUUAUUCUAACGAUUAAAACUAAUGCUUUCCAUGGUCACUAUAAGUAAAAAGAAAUUAAAGUUAUUUUUCUCCUUUCUUUUUCCUAGGACAACUCUUGUUCAAACCAAAAAACCUUGAUCUUGAACAUCUUUAUAAUCAAAACACAAUUACCUACAUACAGUGCCAUAUCGUAAUGUGCAAAGAGGAAGACGCAUAAGACAAUCAAUAUCACUGAUAGCAUAUAUUUUCUUCCCUUUUUAAAUUAGAGACAGCCAGCUGAAGCUUGACUUGCUUAUCAGCCUCGCUUGGAUUCAACCACUUGAGAGGAAGCCAACAACAGUUUUUGCAUUAGAUGCUCUGCCUAUAUUUUCCCUCGGCAAUCCUUUUACAUUGGAAGCAUAAGACAUUAAAAAAAAACACUGAUAGUAACAAAUUAACUGACAAUUCAAAAUGUUAUACAAUUCAUGUUAAUUACUAUAAUCUAAUAAGGCAAGGAAAAAAAAUUAAGGACAUUAAUUGCAGAAAAAAAGUGAAACAAUUAUUCAAAAAUAUAGAUCUUAAUGUAUGAAAAUACAAACAAAACCCUAAAGCCUAAAGGAUCUGUUUUCUGAUUUGAAAUUAAAAAAAAAUCAAAUUUCUAUUUUAACAAACAAUAAUAAUUUUCAAAUUUACGCGUAUAAAAGAGUAUAAAAAUGUGUAAAUAUGUUUUCAUUUAGGUAGUAGCUUUGCUCGUCUAAACAUAACUCUUUUUUUAGUGUUGUAUUAAAAUAAAAAAUAAUUGAAUACUAUUUAGAGUAAUAUAUUAUAUAAUUUUAGGAAAAGCACAUCUACACCCCCAAAUUUUGGAGAAAUGGCCAUCAACACCCCCAAGUUUUUAAAGAGGGACACCAAGACCCCUUUUUGAUGAUUAUAACCUUUAUUUCUAUUAUCCCAAAAGAAUUAACUCUAAUAUUUUAUAAUAAAUAGAAAUAUAAUAUUAAAAUAAAUAUAAUAAUAUAUACAUUUUAAAAUAAUUUCAAUAUUUAAAAAAUAUUUUAAUAUUUUAAAGAAAAUUUUAUGAUAAAUAGAAUCAUAAUAUUAAAAUAAAUGUAUUAAAAAUUUAAAUUAUUUUUAAUAUUAUGUAAAAUAAUAAUUUUAACAAUAUUAGUAUGCGAGAAUGUUUUUAAUUGUAGAACGUAUUUAAUGCAAAUAUUUAUUUAAAAUCUCUACAAUGAAUAAAAAUAUAUUAUUAAAAUAAAUAUAAUAAUUUACAUAUUAGAAUUUAUUAAAAUAUUAAAUAUUUUAAUAUUGUUAUUCUACUGCAUAAAUUACAUUAUUUAUAGAAUUUGUAUGUACUAAAAAUUUUAAAGUCAAUUUUUUAGAAUAAUAGAGGUAAAUGGUAUAAUGGUCAAAAUGGGGUCUUAGUGUCCCUCUUUAAAAACUUGGGGGUGUUGAUGACCAUUUCCCCAAACCUUGGGGGUAUAGAUGUCAUUUUUCCUAUAAUUUUUUUAGAAAAAGUUUACAAUCUAUAUACAAAUUAUGAUUUAUAAUUUAAUGGGAUUCUAUAUACGUAUACUUUAUAGUACAGUCUGAAAGUUCUCCGAGUGUUAACUUGGGAACCUAUUCCCAUAAAUAUACAAAGAGGCAUCUGCUUUAUUUUAAAUUAAUAUUAUAAUAUUAUAGUUAUAUUAUUAAUUUGCUUAACUUUAUAAUAUAAUACCGGCAAUAAUUUGCAAUGACAAUUAACAACAUUUAUCAUUACAUCAUUAAAAAAUUUAGGGAAAUUAUCAUUUGAAUACCCUUAGUUUACUUCAUUAUCAAAAAUACUACAACACUUUGAGGGUGUAUCAAUCGUCAACUCUAAGUUGACAAAAUGUAUCAGCUGACCACCAAACCGUUAGUUGCCGUUUAAGUAUGAUGACGUCAGAAUGGUAAUUUGGUCUUUUCAUAUGAUACAAGUGAUAAUUUAAAGGUAUACAAGUGAUAAAAAGAGAAUUUAAGGGUAUACAAGUAAUAAUUUUCAAGGGUAAAAUCGUCAAUUCACUGUAAUUCCAUUAACUUUCAAACGGCAACUAACGGUUUGGUGGUCGGCUGAUACAUUUUGUCAACUAAGGGUAGACGAUUGAUACACCCUCAAAGUGUUGUAGUAUUUUUGAUAACAGAACAAAUAUAAGGUAUACGAAUGAUAAUUUUCCAAAAAUUUAUUACCAACAAAAUGUUGUUGUAUUUAGAAUUAAAAAAAGUAUAAUAUUAAUAAAGUUAUCAUAUAUUUGUUCAGUUUAAUAAUAAUAAUAAUAAUAAUAGUAAUGGCUAACAAAUAUACUCAUCAAAAACAUUAAUAAUAGAUGUUAAGAGUGAAGGACAACAUUUGUCCAUGAGGUUCCUGAAAAACGCAACUUUUGUGCAGUAAAAUUAAAUCGACUUCAUUCAAAAAUAAAAAUCAAGAGGAAAGAUUGAAGUUUGUUUACCUCACUUGUAGUUUCAGAAACGACUUCGUGAGGUAGGAAAAAAUGACUGAAAACAACAAGCUACAAACACUGUCCAGAAAAUAGACCUCUGCAUGAACAGCUUUUGUUUUGCCACGAUUUGAGUUAAAGCACCCCAAUUGUGAUGCCUCUAAUCAGUCCACACUUAGAAAUGUUCUAGAAGUUCAUAGGAUUUUGAAUCUUCAAAUUUCGUUUAGAAAUGAGAGAGAUAAUGAAGAAACAUGAAUGCUAGUUCAUGAUGAUUCAUUCCACUAAAUAAAGCCACCAUUAUCUUUUCAAUAAUGGCACCAAACAUUAUCAUGUGCUAGACCCACCCACUAAGCCAUUAUUUAUUGAAUGUGAUCUUAUCACUUCAAUAAUUUAUUUAAUCAAAUUAUUUUGAAUAAAUAAAUAGCUAAAUUAAUUAAUUUUGUCUUUAAUUAAUUAAGGGAAAUUAUCAGUCAUAUACCCUUAAAUGACACCAGUAUCAAACGUGCUACAACACUUUUCAAGUGUAUCACUCGUAUACCCUAAGUUGACAAAACACUUCUGCCGUCCACUAAUCCAUUAACUGCCGUUUGCGAGCGCUGACAUCAUAAGGAUAAUCUAGUCUUUUUUUUAAAAACGACAUGUCAUAUGAUAUAUUAUGAUAAAAUGACAUGUCAUCCCAUUUAUCAGAUAAUUGUUAAUAAUUGCUAUAAAAAAAAAGCUACUUUACAACCGAAUCUACUCCUCCAAAAUUUAACCUAAAUUAUUGAAGAUCUACUCCUCCAAGCUCAAACUUGAAUUUUUUAUGGUAUAAGAUGAAUAUUUUUUAUGGAUUAAUUGUUAAUAAUAUGUACCAUUAAUAAUUCAUAUUUUUUUAAUAAAAAAAUGUAUUGUUAAUAAAAAAAUUAAAAAAAAUUGUGUAUUGAAAAUUUACAUUAAUUUUCAAGGUAAAUUUAUUUUUUUACCUCAUUUUGAGUUUAAAGGGUAAAAUAGUCAUUUUGCUCAAAUUCUGUUAAGUUCUUAACGGUAGUAAACGGAAAGGUGGACGCUAGAACUCUUUUGUCAACUUAGGGUAUACGAGUGAUAUAAGCGAAAAGUGUUGUAGCACGUUUGAUACUGGUGUCAUUUAAGGGUAUAUGACUGAUAAUUUCCCAUUAAUUAAUCCCAUUUUGAUAAAAUCAAAUGGCUAAUUGUGGGCUUAUUUUGUGAUGUGUUCUAAUGCUUUCUCCUAAUCCAUAUCAGGUCCAAUAAAAGCCCAAAAUUCUAAACCCAAAAUUAGUCUAGAAGUCCAUACUCAUUUACGAACCAGAACAUGUCCAAAACGGUCAUUUUAUGUGCUCGAUAUUAUACAUAAUGUUUAAUUGAGGAUUUAUGAAAUUUAUUUUGUUCCUUAAACUAUUUAUGGAACAUCUAAAUUUCUAUCUUAAAUCAUAUUUAAGAUAUAUAUAUAUAUAUAUAUAUAUAUAUAUAUAUAUAUAUAUAUAUAUAUAUAUAUAUUCAUUCUUAAUGAAUUAUAAUAUAAAUACCGAUUUUCCUAAAAUUAGGAAAUUUAACUUCUCAUUUUCUAGUAACUCCUUUUUCAUUUCUAUUAGGUGUGUGAUCUUUUAGGUUCUUUGUUAUAAGGUAGUAGAACUAUUUUAAUGAUAACUCUUUAUUCAUUAAAUGAUGCUAAACUCUUUAGUCAUCAAUUAGAACUUUUCUAAUGAUCUUAAGAUACAUUGGUAAUACACUUUACCAAUAAUGAUCUUAAGGUUUCUACAAGUCAUGAGUGACACCUAGCAGUAUUUCACAACCACCCAAAUAAAAAGAAUUGCUGGAUCUAUAGAACCUAUUCCAUUGUAUCUCUAUGUCUUGGUCUCUUCAUCAUCCAUGUCCAAAGAAAAGCACGGCUAAUGGUUUAGUGUGUUAAGCAUUUAUGCUUUAUCUCAAAAUAAAUCUAAAUGAACUUGGCAUGAAAAUAUAAUUUGAACUCCUUCAAACAUAUUUUGCCUUGGCCAAGGAUUUCUCAUGCCAAUUCAUAUUAUCUCACAGGGACAUCCUUUUUGUAUAUUACAAAGUGAUGAAUUCCAUAUUGGCCAUACACUUGUCUCCAUACAUACCCAACCAUGACAGCUAUUGCUAGAUCUCUUCCUUGAUUAGGAAUUAAUCAUUAUGCUUUCACAUAUCAGAGAUGUCUAUGUACAAGACACAUGUGAUACCUCAGGUCUAAAGACCAUUACUAAACAUAAUGUCUAUCACAAUGUAUAAUAAGCCAUUAACACUCAAAAUCAUAUGGCUUAUUAUAUUUGGUCAAGUUUAGUAAACUCGUUCUCUCAACAAGUACCUAUGUGUUUGACUUGACAUCUCAUAUCAAUGAUAUGAAACUCACCAUUCAUUUUAGUAUCACAUACCAUAAAUGAGUUAUAACACAUACUAGUGUUUAUAGGAAUUUAUCAUAAAUCCACUACUAGGAACUAUUUUAGAAGUAUAGUACAAAGGAUACACGUUUUAUAUUCUUGACAAACUCGAGAAUGUGUUGCUUAACGAUUUUACUUCUUGGACUAUAUUCAUUAAAUUAAUUUAUGAAUGUUGAUAAAUUUGCCAUUUUAUAAAUAUUAAAAUGCUAAUCAUAUACAAUAAUUCCCUAAAAGCAAACACCAUUCGAUUGGCUUUUAGGACAUAUCACUAACAAAGAGUACCAUUAAUCGUUAUCCUAGUAAUAAAACAAUAUCAUCAAAUAUUAACCUUACAUGUAAUCAUGUAUAAGCUCCUAGAACAAUUCAUAGAAAUUUUUGUAACUUCAAAUCAGGGAGUAAAUAAAACCAUAAAGGGUAAUUUAAUUAAUUUCAUAGAAAUUGUAUGAAAUAUUUUAAUUAGAGAUUGUUAUCUUAUAGUUGCCAUAUCCAGAUUUAAAUUGUACUAUUAAUAUUAGUCAAUAAUACAAAUAAUUAUGAGUAAUUGCAAUAAUUAGUACUGCUACUAAUAUAAUUGUUUGAAAAUUAUCCAACGGCUAUAAUGAAAAAUUAUUUUAAUUCUCAUAUUGGUAUUGAUAGAUAUAAUAAGAGUUUGAAUUACUUGACGGUACAUUUUAGAGUUGAUUUCUUCUAAAUACUUGGGAAAAUUUUUUUUUGAUUUGUUAUAGACCUAUCUAUCUAGAUUGCAUUGCGCCACAUUGAGUUAGAUAAAAAAGACACAAACUCCCAAAAAUAAAGAAUUUUCAAAAAAAUUUAUAUUGCAAAAUAUUUGUAGGUUUAUAAUGUCAUAAUAAAAACAUCUAAUUUAUUUAAUAUCAAAAAUAAUUUCCUUGAUUUAUAAUGAAUAUAGUUUACCCUAAUAUAAAUAUUAUUCUCAUUAUUUUAGACGUUACAUAUUUUAAAAAUAUAUUUUUAUAUUGAGAGGUUUUUGAUACUCUCAUAAAUUAAAUGAAGAUUUUAAUAUUUAGUUAAAAGAUGAGGGAACCAAAUUACCUUGAUAUUUGCAAAGUUUUCCAUUUGAUUCGAUGACUGCCUAGAAUGCCAAUAAAUUUAAAAUAAACAAUUGAACUUGUACAUUAAGGGACCCCAAUUUCGUAGAUCAGUCAUCAGUCAUACUCAAGAGUCAAGCUAUAGUCACUCAUCGGUCAUCACGUACUGUGUGUCGUCUGUCAAACCCUCGCUACUGAGUACCAAUUGAAGCUGAUUUUUCACCAAAUCAUUUUGUCUCACUAACAAAAAUGGUUCAUCUUGCAGGGAUUGGAGCUCACAAUCGGUGACUUUCUUACAAAUCAGUAUAUCAAGGCAAGAGAGCUAGGAAGCUCAUCUUUCUCACUCGUUGUAUAUAUGUGCUUACUUUUAAUUUGCUGCAUUUUUAUGUGGGUCUUUGUUGGCGUGGAGCCCAUGUUGGGUCGCUUGGAUUUAAUUUUAAUCAAGGGUUUUGGAGUUGACGAUGGAUGCCACGUGGAUUUAUUGCAUAUCAUUUAAUUUAAUUUUAUAUUUAGGAGGUUGCUUUCUUCAAGAAAUCGGUGUGUAUAUUACAAAAUAUAUUUGUGGAAAAUGAUGCCAUGUGGUCCCAUUCAAACUUUAUUAUAUAUACUAUAACUAUGUGAGAGAUAAUGGUUAUCCUUCUUUACUCUAUGGUCUGGAAAUUGGAAAAUGAAGCUGUGCGGUCCGUUGAAGCUUUGUAGUAGGUGUAGGGAAGGGUUUGAUUGUGUUAUGUUUGUCUGUAGGGAAAGGAACACGUGCUUGUAACUUGAAAGGUUUUGAUGGUGAUCCAUUUGUAAUAUGUUAUAAUAAUAAUAAUAUUAUUAUAACAUUAAUAAUAAUAAUAAUAAUAAUAAUUAUUAUUAUUAUUAUUAUUAUUAUUAUUAUAGCAGUAAUAUUAUAAUCAUUAUCCAUUAUAAUUAAUUAAAUAAAAAUUACUAUAAUAAUAAUAUAAAGAAUGAUAAAAUAGAAAUUUUAUGAUUUAAGUGAGGGUAAUAUGGUCACUUAAGGGAAUGAGAAUCCUAUUCCCACCUCCCUAUGAGAAUAGGAACCCUAAUAAUUAUUUCCAAUUUUACUUCAGACCCACUAUUUUAAUUCUCAUUUCACCUGUUAUUUACUUAUUUUAAUUCCCAUUCCACCUCUUAUUUAAAUAAGUAAGCACAUUAUUUAUUUCUAUGUCUUAAUUCCCAUUCUCAUUCUCAAAAAAAAAUAAAUAAAUAAAUAAACACACCAUUAGCAAAUUGAAGUUGUUUCUAUUGAACUGUUGAAGUGCUCGCAUGCAUUUGCUAUAUAUAUGAUUUUUCAAAUCUUUUAGUUAAGUGGAAAAAAUAAAGAAGUAAGGUGAUUUCAUUGAAAAUAACGGAUAAAAAAUAUAAUUAAAUAUUUAAUUGAUAAUGAGACAAAACUCAUUUAUGUGAUUUAAAGAAAGAAAGAGUAGUGCACAAAUUAGGGGUAAAGAGCGAGUGAAUCAGUCCCACUGAGCGUAAGAUUUUCUCCUGAUCUGAUCAUAUUCUGAGUAAAUAACUCAAUUAUUAAUUGAUAGUUAAUAAAUAAAAAAAUAAAAAAAUUAAAUCUUACCCGUAUACUACCAUUAAAAAAUACAUAAUAAGAGAUUCUUAAAACCUUAAUAUAGCUCAAAUUAGAAAAUGAUCCUUUUCCCUUGAUACGUACUGUUACGGUCAUAUGUACUUAAUUCACAAAAGGGGCACUGAAUUAUUCAAGUUUGCAGGGCAGCUGCAGCUUGUGGAGCCCACACAGUGUUCAAUCUCAUCGAUUUCUCUCAGGAUUUUGACUUGUGGUUUCCAUAAUUCACCAACUUCUUUCUGCUUGCUCUCUCUUUUACAUUGAUCCGGUUUCCCAUGGCAGAGCUCUUACUCUCAGCUUUCUUCCAGGCUUUGUUUGACAAGUUGGCUUCCCGUGAUUUGGCCAACUUUGUCAGUCAACUUCGAGGAGGGGUUGAUUCUGAGCUGAGGAAGUUGGAAAACACUUUGAAGAUGAUUCAGGCUGUGCUGAGGGAUGCAGAGGAGAAGGAAGUGACGAGUGAGACAGUGAAAUUGUGGCUGGACAAUCUCCGAGACUUGGCUUAUGAUGCUGAGGAUGUACUGGACGAGUUUGAUACUGAAGCUUUGAGACAAAAGUCGAUGGCAGAUCAAGCCAGCACAUGCAAAUUGAAGAACCUUGUCCCUUCUUGUUUCAACAUUUCCGGUGGUUUCAACAGUUCCCGUAUGCUUUCCAAGAUAGAAAGUAUCUCAAACCAGUUGGAACAACUCUUUCAAACAAGAGCUCAACUUGGAUUGCAAACGACACCCGGAGGGACAUCAGCUGCUUCACAGGAACAGCAAAGACAAGCCAACGCUACUUCAAGUGUGCCAGAGGAACCUGCUGUCUACGGCAGAGAUGAAGAUAAGGCCAAGAUACUUGAUAUGGUGUUAAGCGAUGGAUCGACUGAUGCCAACUUCCAUGUCAUAUCCAUCAUCGGCAUGCCAGGGGUUGGGAAAACAAAGCUGGCCCAGGAGGUCUACAAUGACGAGGCAGUGGAAAUAUUCGACAUAAAGGCAUGGCUUUGUGUAUCCGACGACUUCAAUGUUUUCAGCAUCUCAAAGACACUUCUCGCGAAAAUCACCUCCAAACCUUUUGAUGUAGUGGAUAUCGACGAGGUGCAGGUUCAAUUGAAAAAGGCCGUGGCUAAGAAAAGGUUCUUGUUGGUGUUAGAUGAUGUUUGGAACGAGAACUACAACUCAUGGUCAGCAUUGAAAGCUCCCUUCAUCACCGCUGCACCCAAAAGUAAGAUGAUCGUGACCACACGCAAUUCCUCCGUUGCGUCAACAAUGGGAGCGGUUGAAAAAUACAAUCUAAAGCCUCUAUCAAAUAAAGAUUGUUGGUCUAUAUUCAUGAUGCACGCUUAUGAGGGUAAGGACAUUAAUGCAGUUUCAAUUUCAGAAUCAUUUCGUAAGAAAGUAGUUGCAAAGUGCGGUGGUUUGCCACUGGCCGCAAAGACUCUGGGUGGUCUUUUACGCUCAAAGGGAGAUGACGAAUGGGAUGAAAUUCUAAACAGCAGUAUAUUAGAUUUACCUCAAAGUGGCAUUCUAUCUGUUUUGAGAUUGAGUUACCACUAUCUUCCAUCUCAUUUGAAGAGAUGCUUCGCUUAUUGUGCAAUACUUCCAAAAGAUUAUGAAAUCGAGGAGAAGGAACUUGUUUCUCUAUGGAUGGCUGAAGGCAUUAUUCAGCAAUCAAGAAACAAUAGCAAGCAGCCGGAAGUUCUGGGUCGUGAGUAUUUUCAGGAUCUAUUGUCGAGGUCAAUACUCCAACCUUCAAGUAGUAAUACCUCUAAAUUUGUCAUGCACGACCUCGUUCAUGAUUUGGCUCGAUGGGUUUCUGGAGACACAAGUUUUAGAUGGGAAGAGGCCAACAAGACAGUCACCCCUGUACCGAAGGUUCGUCAUUUUGCUUAUGAUCUUAGCCUUUAUGUUAGCAAGGGCAAGUUUGAGGUCUUGCACGAAGUUCAGCAUCUCAGAACAUUUCUGCCGUUGUCAAUUUCAAGUUUUCGUGGUUACAGCAUGAACAAUGUGGUAUUUUCUGAUUUGUUACCAAGGUGUGUGAAAUUGAGGGUGUUAUCUUUUACCGGUCAUUAUAUCAACGAGUUUCCUACUAGAUCAAUGAGUGGUUUGAAACAUUUGAGGUAUCUUAACCUUUCUGCCACAUGGAUUAGAAAAUUACCAGAGUCAGUGCUCUGUGAUUAACUUGCAAAUUUUGUUGUUAAGAUGUUGUUUUUACCUGAGGAAGUUACCAUCCAACAUCAGAAAGUUGAUUAAUUUGCGCCGUCUUGAUAUAAUGGGUGCAUGUUUAAUAAAAGAGAUGCCAUUUGGAAUAAAGGAGUUGAAGAAUCUUCAGGUGCUAUCUAAUUUUAUUGUGGGCACGGGUACCAGAUCAUCCGGCUUGAAAGAUCUGAAGAGAUUAACACUUCUCAAUGGAGAACUUUGCAUUUCGAGAUUAGAGAAUGUGAAUGACCCGCGGGAGGCAAAAGAAGCUGCAUUAUGGGAGAAAAAGAAUCUAGAAACAUUGUCCUUACUGUGGAGGUCUAAGUUUGACAGCUCACGAAGAGAGGUUUUAGAAGAAAGUGUACUUGACGUGCUAAAACCUUAUCCAAAUAUCAAGAAACUCACAAUUAUGUGCUACGGUGGGCAAAGAUUUCCUUCUUGGAUAGGAGAUCCAUCUUUCUCCGUGAUAGAGGUCCUUAAAUUAGAAAAUUGUGAAAAUUGCACAUCCUUGCCAUCGCUUGGGCUGUUGAGUUCACUUAAGCAUCUUACAGUUCAAGGUUUGACAAAACUCAAGAGCAUAGGCAUUGAGGUUUAUGGAAAGGAUUGCUCAAAGUCGUUUCAAUCAUUGAAGAUUCUUCGUUUUGAGAAUUUGCCAGAAUGGGAGCAUUGGGACACGGAGUUCAAAGAAAAUGGUCUUGUUGCAGGAUUCUCUAGCCUCCGUCAACUUUCCAUUGUGAAGUGUCCCAAAUUCUCUGGAAAACCACUGGAGCAUCUGCCUUCAUUGGGGAGACAAAGCACAACUUUAGCAUGCUUACCUGAAGAAAUUUUAGGCAAGAAUUCACAACUGGAAAGCUUGUACAUCCAAGAUUGCCAUUCUCUAAGAUUGAUUGCAAGAAGGAAGCUAUCUUCAUCUCUUAAAAGCCUUAAGAUUCGGAGUUGUCAAAAAUUACAGCAGUUGGUGGAUGAUGAAGAAGGUGCUUCUUCUUCUUCAUCAAUGAUGCUGAAACACCUAGAGAUAAGGUAUUGCCCACAGCUGACCAGUUUCUCAUCAGGAACCCAGCUACUUGAGGCGCUUGAAGUCCUCCACGUAAGUAAUUGUCCAUUGCUGGAGUCAAUACCAGGAGGUCUGCACAAUAUUCAGAGCAUUAAUAUAGAAGACUGUGCAAAUGUUGUCUCCUUGGCAGAAAGAGGGCUUCCCAACACCAUUUCAAGUGUUAAAAUAUGGAGUUGUGAGAAGCUUGAAGCCCUGCCCAAUAACAUGCACAAACUACACUCACUUCAAUUUUUAGAGGUAAGGCGGUGUCCAAGUCUUGUUUCCUUGGCAGAAAGAGGGCUUCCCAUCACCAUUUCAAGGGUUUUCAUUGAAGAUUGUGAGAAACUUAAAGCUCUACCUGACAACAUCCACAAAUUGAAAUCUCUUCAAUUUUUAGAGAUAAGGCGAUGUCCAAGUAUUGUAUCAUUUCCAGAAGAAGGUUUUCCCGCCAGUCUGAAAUCACUUGUUAUUGGAGGAGAUGUGAAAAUGUAUGAGACACUCAUCCAGUGGGGGUUGCACAAGCUUACCUCUCUUAGACGCCUCUUGAUUGCUGAAGAAUGUCAUGAAGCAGAGUGUUUUCCAGACGAGGAGAUUGGAAUGACGUUGCCCACCUCUCUAAUUGAGUUGCAGCUUUGGGGACUGUCAAAAUUGAAAUUGCUAUCUUCCACGGGUUUUCAGUGCCUCACCUCUCUUGAAUAUCUGUGUAUCCAGAAUUGCCUAAAUCUCACAUCCUUUCCAGAGGUGGGCCUUCCAUCCUCACUCUUGGAACUAAAAUUAAUAAUGUGUCCAAUGCUUGAAAAAGAGUGCAAAAGGAAUAAAGGAAAAGAAUGGUCCAAGAUAGCCAACAUCCCUCGUGUUGUGAUAGAAGGAGAAAUCAUUUAUACAGUGGAGUAGUUUUUAUUAAUCAUUCCAUCUCUUAUCAUACGCAACAAUCAAGGUCAGUUGAUUUCUAUAAUCCACUAUAACAAGCUCUUUUGAUUCUGCACUUGUAUCAUUAAUCGACCACCUUACCUAAAUUGAAAAUGCUUAUCUCUUUUUAUUUUUAUUUUCAUUUUUAUUUUCUGUUUUCUUAUUCUUCAGAAUGAUGCUAGUUGACAGUUUCAAAUGACAAAUGCCUUGGGAGUAGAAAUAAUUUUUUUAACUCGUGAUGGUGAGUGAGUAGUAAUCAAAGAAAUUCUUUCAGCUUAGUAAAAAUAAUAAAUGGUACAUGCUGUUAUGGAUUAUAUACGAUACAUUCUAAGGUUCCUUAUGUCUGCUUGUUUUCAGGUGAUGAAUCUAUUUUGUUACAGAAUUGGAUUGAAAGUAAGCUGGGUAAUAAGUACACAAGGGCGUUAAUUUUUUGGAUUUCCUCAUGGAGUAUGGAUCUUUGGUGCAAGCAUUUGGGAUAAACGAAGUGUCAAAAGCAAUUUCAACUUAUUGAUUUUUCUACUGCUGUGGUUAUGAUUGAAAGGUAGUCAAAAGAAAUUUGCAAACUUAUAUAUAGUUGCAGAUUUUGGUAAUGCUUUUUUUUUUUUUUUGGCCAUUUUUGGUCAUAGACAUUUAGAUAUUUUAGAUCCCGAAUUUUAACAUUAAUUUCAUGCCAUUUUUACUUCAGAGGGAAUUGAGUUGCAAUUUUAAACUAGAAUCGGAGUAUGUCAUUUUGGAGCUGAGCAUAUACUUGACGAAUGAUUAUAUGAACUAAAGAAAUUUGUUGUGGUGAGUGGUAACUAAAGAAAUUUGUUUGCUUAAGUCAAAUUUCAUUUUGGUGUUCUGGAUAUACAUGCUUAAGCUCCUCUUAUUUAUUUCAGGUGAUGAAUUCAUUUUCUUCUUCAAAUAAGGGAAGAAAAGUCGGAAAGGUUUAAUCUGAUCUUGAAGUUAACAGAUUGAUGUUAAUUGUACAACUAGAAUGGGCUCUCUUGUCCUGCUGUAUGAUAUCAAAUUUUCCAAUAAGAUGGCAUUUGUGUACUUAUUCCUUCUCCCCGCACCAUUUUCUUUCUUUCUGGUGAAGAGUGUCUACUUAAUAAGUCUUUGUUUUCUUCAGGAUUGCAUGAAUGCCAAGAAUGGAGUGAUUAAAUAAGUGCUGCUGCGGCUUGCUUUUCCUUCUUUGGUAUUGAAGGUAACUCAAUUCGGCAGGUGAAGACAGCAGCAACCCAGUAGAUAGAUGCAAUUUAAGGAUUGUGUACCUCAAUUAUACCUUGAUAUUAUUGAUAACAUGUUAAUUAUAUUUCAGUUCUGCAAUUUUAAGGAAAAUUGAGUUGUCGGCACAGUGCGCAGCAACAGUUGUUCAAACUUCGAACAGUCGGUUUCUGCAGGUAAUUAGCUCUUUUUUCUUUUUUCUUUUUUUUUUGGGUUAUUAAUUACAUUUUAAGGGUUAUUAAUUACAUUUUAAUUAAGUUGAUUUUAGGACCUUUAAAGAUUCAAUUUUUCAUUUUCUUUUUCUUCAAAGGGAAGCAAGUGGACUGUAUCAAACAUACCUGAUAAAUGAAGUAUUCAUGUCUGAUUUAAAAGUUAUUAGCUUUUUCAUCCACUUGAUAGUAACUAAAUGAGUUUUUGAGCUCAGUGGCAUUAAUUGUAAUAAUUGAUGUUUUAGAUAUAUUAAACAUGCCAAGUUCCAUUGUAAAUAUUAUUGAUUAAAUCUUAAGCUUCUAGUUUUUGCUAAAGAUUCAUAGAUAUAAGAUAUUGUACUGCUUUGUUCUGUUGCAGAGUAAUCGAUGAUAAUUUACUGAUAAAGAAUUUGGUGAAAGCCAACAACUCAAAAUGUUUAAGUGAGGGAAUGAUGAGAUCAUGUGAGCAAAACCUGGGUAUCAGCAUCUUAAUGGCGAUAUGGAAAUCCUUGUUGAGGCAAAACUACAGUUGAAUCAGUUGAAGUUCAUCUGAUGAGGUGCACAAUCUCACAUCUCUCAAGUAAAUGCUGUCCUACAGUCCUAGAUAUUGAAGCUUUUCGCAUUUCAACAACUUUUUGCAAGACAGGUGAGGAUGGUCGGAAAACUAAAAAUCUGGAUCACCAGCUAACUUCUAGUCAUUGCCACCCUUGCAUGUUUCUGGAUUUGAUCAAACCAAAAAGACUUUUGAAGUUGUUAUUUUAUGUCUUUAUAAAACUAUAAUGACCAAGCCGCCAGUGUAACAUUCCUGAAAGAAUAUUGUGAUUGCUUCAGAAUAUGCUCGGUGCAUAACAGAGACAUCCUCGUAGAAAAGCAUACAUAGCUAAUAACCAGGUAAAUAUUCCUUCAUUCUUGCCAGGUAACUUCUAUUCCUAGGUUUCCAGAUAAUUUACAUUUCAGAAAUUGUUCCUAGUUGAAGAAUCUGAUUUACAUUUUGUUUUCCAGAAUAUGUACAUUUUACAAUAUGAUGUGCUUUAGUUGCAUUAUCUGGGGCACCUUUCGAAUUACACUUGCCUUUUUCUUUGUUUGCAUGUGAUUUGACUUGAAGGAUGCCAACAUGGCUAGAUAUUUGAAGAAACACCAAAAGAGGCUUAAUGCCAGGGGAACUUGCUCGGGCACUUUUGCUCCCAAGCCUUUAAUCCCACAAACAAAUUCAGGGAGUGAAUGCAUGCCAUUCAUUUGUGGUCCCAAAAACAGGUUGAUACCUGGCCGCUGGUACUGAACAUCUCUGCAAUUUGGAAGCAGGGUAACAAUUGUGUUGACACACAAGCUUCAAACUGUUAAAGCUAUACCCUUCUUGCUUCAGGAAUCCAUGUUGUAUGUCUCAAAUUCUGAAAGCAAAUGAGAAUUACUGCUUUCUCUAAGGCACCAUUCCAAGAUCUGCUUUUGUAUUCAUUCAAUCAGAUCAAUCAUAUGGAUUGUCAACUUUCAAGGAUACGAUGAAUUAUGAGUGAACAGAGGACUUGGAGGAAGAAUCAUUAAGAACAGAGCAAAAACUGAGAAGCAGAUAAGAGGAAGUUGGCUAUCAUUGAAGAAGAGGCAGCUUACAUUGCUUUAGUUAUUGAUGAUAACCGUCAAACAUGCUCUUGGUUUGUAUGUUAACAUGAUUGGAGUAUGAGAGAAACUACAUUUCUCUAAUUUGUUUGACUUCAUUGAUUUUUUUUCCCCUCUCACUUUAUCUUCAAAUCAAAAUCUCAUCUUUGAUCAAACUUGAUCACAAAAUAUUAUUAAUGUUUGAUACUACUUGUCAAGAAAUUGCUAAAAUGUUUAUUCACUGCGAAUACUGUUGAACCAAGAUCAGUAAAUGACCAAUCUUGGUGCCACAAGAUCUGACUAAACUCUUUGAUUAUUCACCAAGGGGCAAAAGAAAUUAACAAUUGAAACAAACAGAAACAGAAUCAAAGAAAUCACAAAUAAAGCACACACACAGCAAUUACAGAGGAUUCAGCCAAAGAUGGCCAGCGUCCUCUUGAACAAGAACAAAUUACAACGGUGAAGGAAUUUUCACAGUCUACAGAAUGAACCCAGCUCCAGUCAAUGGAUAUGGAAAGGUCCCCCACUUACCAGACAGAUCCUUCCCGCUUCUUGUAACGGCCAUAACGCCUUUUCAUUCAGGUGAUGACACACGUGCAACGCAGGUGUACUAAAAAUAUUUUCUUUGGUGGGUGAUUGCACGUGCCUCGCAGGUGAGUCACUCAACGCACACCGCUGACAUGAUCGAAGUCGUACGCAUCAUGUAAAAUAAAGCCGACAUGGCAUCCAUAAGGAAACGACGGCACAGUGACUCUUAUUUUCAUAAACCGACUUUGUUGUCUGCUAUUUAUUUCUGAUUCAAUAGCCUGUCCCGUUUAUUCGUCCGAAAAAUGGAUGUUUGCCACAGCAAAAAUUUUCCAAUUAAUUAAUGAAAUAAAAUAUUGACUAAUUUUCUUUUUCUUUUUUAACAAACAAUUAGUAAUACUAGCAAUUCCAUGUGACGACUGGAAGGAGUUAAUUGUCCUGCUAUUAAUCGGAAUUUUUUGAGUCCAGAGACUUUACUUUCCUUGGAGAAAAAUUGCACCAUGCGUCCAAUCACUUGGCAAAAUUCAACGUGUAACGCCUUUGAAUUUUUUUUUCCCUCUCUUUAUUAAUUAUUAUGGUAGUUCUUGCAUAGAUAAUAAGAAUUUAUUGUUUCUUUUGAUUGGUUUAUUCAAGAAAUUCAGAGAAUGAUUCUAGGCUUUUCCAAGUUACUAGAAUUAUUUAGAAUUUUCUAGCGUUAGAUUUAUUAAUUACACAAGACAUGUGAACCUACAUUAUUACUUGCAUUUGUUAUGCAUUUAUUAUUUAUAUUUUUCAUAAAAGCCUAUAUUUAUUUAAAGAUGCAAACAUUCAUAAUUACAUUUAUUUAAACUUUUUACACAUUUAUUGUUGCUUUCCUAAAGUUUCUUUAUUCAAGUUUACUUUAAAUUUAUUAAAGUUUACUUUAUAUAUAUGAUUACACUUAUUAAAGUUUACUUUAUAUUUAUUAUUGUUUUACUAAAAUUUUUUUAAUAAAGUUUAUUUUAAUUUAUUAUUACACUUAUUAAAGUUUGCUUUGAUUAUACUUAUUAAAAAUUUACUUUAUAUUUGUUCUUUCUUGAAUAAAAUUGCUUUGUUAAAGUUUACUUUAUAUGUAUAAUUGCAUUUAUUAUUGUUUGCUUUAAGUUUGUUGAAUCUUGAAAACGUGGACUUAGAGAAGGAAGCAUAAUUAUUCAACUUCUUUCAAUUGUUCAUCUUCAUUCUCUCUCAAUUCCAAAAAUCUAAAUUCUAGAUCUCUCACUGCAACCUUCUCCAAAUCUUCAAUAGAGUUAGAGAUCUUAAUUAAUUUGGAAGCUUCUUGAUUUGGUGAAUCUUUAUUUGCUUAUGUUUUUAAAGACCAAAUUCACAAAAUUAUUUAUACCAUAAAAUGAACUCAAAAAAUUCUGAAUUUUUAAACAGAAGUUAAUAUAUCUGUCUAAUAUUUCCAGUUUUAAUUUCAUAAUUUUCUGAUUAGUACAUAAUUUCAAAAAAAUCUCGGAAUCAAUACUGUCACUACAAGAAAAAGUGCCUACUAUGACAGGCAAAAACUGUCAUAGUAGGGGGUGGAUGACGGUUGUUCAUACCGUCAUUGUAGCCACCAUCAAGAAUUGAUGACAGAACAAUACCAGUUAUAAUCUGUGAUAGGUAUUACCAGUCACAUAAUUGUUAUAACUUUAUUUAGAGGGGAAUAUAAUAAAUUUGAAUUUGGCUCUUUUUUAAAAAAAUUUGCGCGCCAUAUUUUGAAUUUUUGGUGGGAAAAUUAAAUUUGGCGCGAAAUGCAAAUUAUAAUUAAAUGAAUUUUUUCAAUUAAAUCAAAAAUUGAAAUUAUAAUUAAUAAAAAAUGGGUAUUUUGUUUGCACCAUGAAAUUAUUAUCAUUUUAAUAACAAUCCUGCAAUUGAUUUAUUAGAAAUUAAUAUUUCAUAAAUUAGCUAAUUAAUUAGAUUAUUAAAAUUAAUAUUGCAAUUAAAAAUUCACUGACAAAGAAAAUGAAAUGGAUAACAUUGACUAAGAUUUCAUAAUUGUCAGCAAACAUAAUUUAAUCAAAUUCGAGAGUGACAAGUCCAACAUAAAUAGAAGAAGAGUAUUGUAACAACCUAAAAACUAAAUUCCAGCAACAUGUACAACACAAAUGAACCAUGAUCAGUUCAAUUCCAAUAGCAUAAGGAAGCCAACAAGAGAGUCAUUUCUACCAACAUGAACAAAGGCAACAACAUAGUUCAUUUCCAGCAACAUUCCAGCAACACAAGAGGAGCCAAAAAUACUGAUCAGACAAGGCCAGCAGUUCCCAAACGUGAAAAUCCAACCUAAGAACAACUGAAAUGUGUAAAAUUGCAUCAAUAUCCAGGAGCUAUUUUCCAAACAAAGAAAAAAACUAGCCAACUCUAGCAGUACCCACCAUCUUCAUCAUAAUCCAACAUAGAAGUAUAAUAAGCUAGAUAACUGCCCAAGUAAAAUAUAGGUAGUAAAUUAAUUUAUUUCAUCAAUGAACUCACAAUGACAACAUAAUAGGUAAGUGUUACCUCACAUAACAGCAAGUACUCCAGAAAAACUGAAAUUAUUUGUGCAACCAAUGACACUCCACUAUUUUAAGUAACUCUAUUUAAGUCUCGAUCUCUUGUAACAAAGUGAAAACCAUUUAUGUCAUAACCAGGAUGUUGGAAAAUAUAAGGACGAGGCCCUUGGGAUAACCAACGGAUUGUUUGAGUAACGACAUGACCGUUCUCAAUCAACAUAUUUACCUAUUAUUAAUCGACAGGAAUAUAAUGUUAAACAAGCACAAACCGAAACAGAAAGGAAAAAAAUGAAUUAAUUAAACUAAUGUUAUCAAAACCUUAUCUGUUAGCCAAUCUGCAAAUGUUCGGUUGUGUUCAUCUUGCAACCACUUCUCAUUUUUUUCGUGGAUGGCAAAGUUGUAAGCAAUCCUCAUGCUCUCUAAAAAUCAGUUAAAAAGACAAAAUUUUCAGGUUCUAAACUACCAAAACUUGACAAAUAUAAAGCUAAAAUAAUACAAGUUAGAUAACAUCACCUUAUAUAAGGCUGAACUUCCUCAGUGUUAUGCAAAACAUACAAGUGUGCUUGAUCUAAUAAAGUUCGAUCAACUUCCACCAUUUGUCCACCACUCAUGGGCUUGUCAAUUUCUAAAUUCUGCACAUGUCCAGGUGGAACCCCAAUUGUGGGCAUGUUUUCCAAGUAUUCUGCACAAAAUUCUAAUGCUUCCUCAGCAAUAUAACUCUUCGCUAUGCAACCCUUAGGACGGUUACGGUUUCGAACAUAGCCUUUUAGAGUUUUCAUGUAUCGCUCAAAAGAAUACAUCCACCGAAAAUAUACGGGGCCACAUUGUCUAACUUCACUCACUAAGUGAAUAAUAAGAUGAACCAUUAUGUCAAAAAAAGAAGGGGAAAAACAUUUUUCAAGCAAGCACAAAAUCUCUACGAUGUUUUUCUCCAAUUCAUCUAGCAUUGUCACGUCAAUCACAGUCGCACACAAUGAAUUAAAGAAGAAAAAGAACCUAAUGAUAGCUUCUUUGACAUGUUUGGGCAGCAUACACCUUAUGGCAAUUGGAAAAAGUUGUUGCAUAAGAACAUGACAGUCAUGGGACUUAAGACCCUGGAGUUCAAAGUCCUUUUUUGACAUAAAAUUCCUAAUAUUUGAAGAGUAUCUAGUAGGAACCUUGAUACUUUUCAAAACUGCACAGAAUCUUGCUUUUUCCUCCUUAGUUAAGGUGUGGCAAGCAGGAGGAAGCCAUGUACGAUUAUUGUUUCCUUUAACUUGUGGUGCUAAUUUGGGCCUAUUUUUCAUUUCCAAGAGAUCCAUCCUCGACUUCAGUCCAUCUUUGGACUUUCCAGGAAUAUGCAGCAGUGUACCGUAGAUAUUCUCACACACAUUCUUUUCAAUGUGCAUAACAUUUAAUUGAUGCCACACAAGCAAGUGCUUCCAAUACUCUAAAUUAUAAAAUAUGGAUUUCUUCUUCCACCACACGAGAUCAUCAUUGUUCUCACUUUUACGCUUUUUACUAUUGCUUUUCCCCCAUCUAUUAUCAAUAGAGUCGACCAGCUGGAAAAUUUACUCCCCGUUUAAUGGUUUUAGAGGGGUUUCAUCACACACACUAUUAUCAAAGGCUUUUGCUUGGAACCGAAAUUUAUGACCAUGAGGAAGCCAAAGCUGAUGCCCAAUGUAUACAUUUUUUCCACUGUAUUUAAGUCUACAUUUUGGUGUUUCUACACCACAAUAUGGGCAGGCAUAAUAUCAUUUAACAGUACAUCCCGCUAAAUUUUCGUAUGUCGGGAAGUCAUUUAUUGUCCAUAGUAAUACAGCCCGCAAAUUAAAGUACUCAUUUUUGUACGCAUCAUAUGCCUCCACCCCAACAUCCCAUAAAGUUUGCAAAUCCUCAAUAAGAGGUUGCAAAUACACAUCAAUGUCUAAACCCGGUUGUUGAGGACCAGAAAUCAAGAGGGACAACAUCAUGAAUUUUCGUUUCAUGCACAACCAUGGUGGAAGAUUAUAAGUAAUAAGAAUUAUUGGCCAGCAACUAUAUGUACUACUAAGAGAGCAAUGGGGAUUGAUUCCAUCAGCUGAUAGAGUUAGGCGAAGGUUUCUAGGAUUGGAUGCAAAGAUCGGCCAUUUCUCAUCUACUAACUUCCAAGAUGAUGAGUCAACCGGAUGUCAGAGUUUACCAUCAACCAUCCUCUCAUUUCCAUGCCAAGUCAAGUCCCUAGCAGUUUCAGAUGACUGAAACAUUCGCUUAAACCCAGGUAUAGGAGGAAAAUCCCAUAAAGUUUUUGGGGGAACCCCUUUCCUAUAUUGGUCUACAGUACCAUCAUUUUUCUUCCAUCUACAUAACCCACAAGUAGGACAUUCAAAAAGACCUUUAUAUUCUUUUUUGUAGAGUACGCAAUCGUUUGUGCAAGCAUGAAUUUUAACAUAUUCUAAGCCCAAAGCUGACAUUGUCUUUUUGGCCUUAUACAUAGAGGUUGGAAUUUCAUUAUUUUUAGGGAAAGCAUCUGCUAAAACACUCAACAAUUAAGAAACGCUACUGUCAGACCACCCAAAUCUACCCUUCACAUUGAACAAUUUCACUAAAAAAGAUAACUUAGUAAAUUUUGUGCAUCCUAGGUAUAAGGGUUUCUCAGCUUGUUCUAGCAACUCUUUGAAUGCCUUAGGGUCCCCACAACAACCCUUAUAAGCAUCAUUAACCAUUUCUAACUCAUUACCAUUGUCAAACUCUAUAUUUUGUUGCUGAAAAUGGUUUUCUCUUUGAGGAGAAGGACUCUUACGAACCUUUUCCUCGUGCCAAAACCAAUUGUCGUAUUUCACAUCAAAACCAUGCAUAUAUAAAUGAUCUUUUACAGUUGUAGGUAUUUCAAAUGAUAAAUUCUCUACUGCCUCCAGCAUUUUUUAUAACAAAAUUUAUAAAUUUCUGGACACCCUCUUCAUAUUCUGUCGACAGUCGAUUACAUUGAAUCUAAGAUUUAUCCAUUUCUGGCUUAUAAUUAAUGUUCCUGACAUAUACAUAAAACAAAGAAAGAAUGUACAUACUUAGAAUAUUUGUCUAAUGUUACAGCACCAUGUGAAAUAAACAAAGUUAAACCUACAUGAGGCCUUUCAAAUUAAACACAAUUUGGCCCAUAUAGUUUUCUCUUUUAUAUUAAAGGAACAACCUACUUUAUGGAAAAGCAUGGUCAUGGUCCAUAAACAAAUUUCAAAAUUACAAAUAUAGCAACCAAGAAAGCUGAUAAACUAAAUUUCAUACUUUUCAAAAGUUCACUCUCCUAUUAUACUAUAAAUAUAAUAAAUAAGAUAGACCCCACAACAAACACAUUACAUAGCAUCAUAAUUAUAAAGUUAAAGAUAUGUAAAUUUUAAGCAAGUGUAUAACAACUUCAAAAAGUCAAAUAAUAGAGGAUAAGAAAUGGAACUUACCAGAUUAAACACAACAAUCUGCUGCUAUAUCCAAUUCCAGGUACAAAUCCAGCAACAAUAUUUAUUGCUAAAAUAUAUUUUGAAUGAUCAGCUGAUAGAAUUCCAAAACUUGGAUUCAAGAGGGCUAAAACAGUACUAAUAAAUUACAUUAAUCAUAUGAGUAAGCCUAAGAAGAAAUAAUAAACUACAAUUUCAAAUAAUAUACAUCCGUAGAACAAAAAUGAAAGCAAACACAAAGAAAAGCUUCAAGUACCUUAAUACAAUGCCUUCAACAAAUCAAGAACAUCGAACUGUCACGUUUAUGCAGCAAUCACAACUAUUUAUAUUUGACACGCAAAUGUUACGACUCAAGACAACAACAGUAACAACAAUACCACCAGAUGCAAAAUAGCUACAACACCACAUGCAUAGGUAGAUGACAAUGAGAGGUGAGAAUCCCUCAAUUUUACAUAACAGAAUCAGUUACUAAGAAUCCCUCCUCAGGCUUUGUUAUAGACAUUUCAGGCCAAUAUUUAAAGAAUCAACUAUUAGAACAUAAAGAUAUAUAAGUUGCAGAUUAUCACCAUCUUCAUAAACUAACACUCAUUUAACUUAACGAAGCUUCAAUAUCAGAAAUAGCUAGAAAAAAAAAUUCACACACAAACACAUGAAUAUAAAUCAGAAUUACCUAGAAUAAAAAAAAAUUAACAACAUUAUGCAAUGCAUGAUUACAACUCAAAACAGAACUCAAAAUUAACAAUAUUAUAUCUUCCUGGGAAAUUAUUUAGUAAAUUAAUUAUCGAAAUAUAUGCAAUAUAUGCAAUACAUGCAAAUACAUUUCAAUUUUUUACAAAUUAUUUACUACUUUACAUAAAAGUUGAAUAAAUAGUCAAAAUUAAAUACAUGCAAAUGCAGCAAUGACUCACUAGUGGGUGUGAAGCUUCAAUUCACCGCCAAGCCUAGGGUUUCUUUCACGGUAAGCGAUUGGGUUUCUUUCAGUCAAUAAAAGUACCCUAGAUGUUGUUCUCAUUCCAAUUUGGGUUUCGAUUAGCACUGACUUCAUCCCAACAAAGAGAGACGGUUCAGUGACAACCGCAGCAAUGAGAGACGAUUCAGUGAAACAACCAGAACGAUUUUGAAACGAUGGGUGUUUGGGUGUCGUUAGUUUGCUAUGGCCGGCCUUUGAGGGUUUGCUGCAAGUGUGCUAAUCGAUUUUGAGAUUCCACAAUAAUGCUUGCAAAUUUUCUGAAAACUUGGAAAAAAAAUUCCUUCUUACAAAACACAACGUUUUAUUAAUUUUUUUUUGUUAUUUACAUUUCUAUUUUCCUCAAACACUUGCAAAACAUACAACUGAGACGACAUCGUUUCACUUCUUUUUUAAAAAUAUAAUAUUUUUAAAAAUUAAGUCAAACCCGCACAAUUAAAGUCAACAUAAAAAAUCAGUCUUUCAUUAUUGAUAGCCAAAUAAUUUAUCACUAGUCUAUCAUAGUUUCUUGAUACAUGAUAUUUAUAUCACCAAUAAUCAUAAUUUCUUGAUAAACGAUAUUUCUAUCACAGCUAUGUCAUAAGUGUAUGACAGAAAGUAAAUCUAUCACGAUUCUAUUGUUGUAGUCCUCCAGACCAAAAAUGGUCACACAGAGAACUGUCAUAGUAGGUACUUUUUCUUGUAGUGUCUGUUAAGGCAAUGUGAGACAAUUUUGAGACUAUCAAGACACAAAUAGUUUUGAAAAUGUUUUGGGUAUCGGAUGCUUUUGAAAAUUUUAUGGGAGAUAUCUAUGGAUGUCUAGAACAGAUCUGCAUGAUAUCGUAUCGUUUUGAUUAUUAGAUUAAGAGUUAAAAUCUAGAGAAUCAUAUUUGUACCGGCCUGAAUUAGAAACUCAGUUCUCGGAAUAAGUUAUUAUUAAUUAUGUCUUAUAUCUUUUUAAGGUGUUGGAGAUAUUUAAGGAUGUUAAAAGCUUAGAGGUGUGUUUCAAUUUUAUCUUAUCGAGGUAAGUAACUCUAUUCCUAGUGUACUAGAUAUGUGUAAUAAUUUUGAUAUUUUAAUAUUACUACAGGUACAUAUUUUUCUUAGUUCUUUGUAACCAAAUUAAUUUAUGUAAAUGUUUUCAAAUCUGAAAAAUUAUAUUACUUUUAUGGUUUUAACAAAUAUUAUAAAUGUUUUUAAAUGUGUAAUUUAUUCUUGUUAAAUAAUUAUAUUUUUGAAAUUGUCUAUAAAAUGUUAGAAUGGAAAUUGUUCUGCAAGCCUAAAUCUUUGUUAUGAUCUUUUAUAAAUCCAAUAUAAAUAUUUUAUUCACGUAUUUGAUUAAGAUUAUCUAUGAAUUAUGCGGGGCCCACCUCUUGAGAUUGUAUGGGGCCCCCUCUCGAGGGCUAAAAUGCCACGAAGUGCUACGUAUAGUGCAAAGUGUCACGUGUAAUUUGCUACAAAUGAAAAAUGAAUUUAAAUAUUUUGGCUCAUUGUCUGUAAUCAUUCCAAUUCUAAUUCUGAUUGUAUUAUACGAUAUAGAUAUAUUUAUGUUAUGUACCAGUACUAGGUUUCUGUUCUGAGUGUGCACACGAUAUUCUGAUUCUGGCCGGGUCAUUAGGACUAUAGGUGACACUAUGUGACAUGAGCUAACUUUUUGUUUCCUGUGAAUGUGUUAUAUGAUUUGCUUUCGAAAGUGACUAUGCUUUUGAAAUUAUGAAUUAUUAUGAAUUUAUGUAUUUUAUUGUGAUGUCAUUUAUGAAAUUUAUGAAUUAUGAUAUAUAUAUUUUUUUUUAAAGAAGGCUUGAAAUACUAUUGGUAUUGAUAGGCCUAGUGAAUUAGGAAUGGUUUUACUUACAGAGUUGACGGCUCACCUCUCGUCAUUACUUUUUACAGAUUAAGUGACUUGUUCAGAAGUGUGGUUAUCUUUGGUGCUAGAGAUUUAUUUACUUGCAAAGUUAAAUAAAAGAAGGAUGAAUUUCUUUAGCCUUUAAGUUUGUUGGUCUUUUGAAUUUGUAUUUGGAGAGUUUUGAGACAUUUGUUACUUUUAUGACUUGUGAGAAAAUGUCAAGUAUCUGAUUUGGUAAUUGUUGAUCUGUUUAAUAAAAUUUAAGGUAUUUCAGUUCGUGAAUUUGUGUAAGGAUUUUUGAUUUAUUAGUAAUGUCCUACUAUCACGUGUUCCGCACGUGAUAAUUUUGGGGUGUUACAGUUGUGGUAUCAGAGCCUAGGUUAGGAUUCUAUAGACUUCCUUUUAAGGUCUAACCGAAUUGUCUAAUAGAAUUAUCUACAUUUGUUUUGUAGACAUGAAGAGGAACAUUAUGGAUAUGAAAUGUGCUAGGAUUAAAAGAUGUUGAGAAAUUGACAGAACUGAACAGUUUAUCUUAGGUGGAGUUCUUGUCAAAGAUCUUCGAAGACUUCAUAAGCAGCGAAUGGAUGAUAGACUAGGACGGACUAGAAUUGUAUACAGAGAUACUUCUCCAAGACCAAGAGCUUCAAAGAAGAAAUUCAAUGAGGCUAUACGAGGACAACAUGUUUAUGGCAAGGGAGCUAACAAGAAUAAACUUGUAGUACAUCGCCUAUUCUGGACAAGACCUCAAUUUAAGCCUUGCUAUAACAAAGGAUGGGUUUCUCCAUGCCGAGAUAAACUACCUCAUGAAACUCUUAAGGAAAAUAAGAUAACUAGAGUCAGGACUGAGGAAAGAAAAGUAGAAUUAGAUCAUUUCCUUAUCCGGUUGAGUAAACCUAUGGACUUUGUGGUUGUGGAAACAAGGCACGAGACUCUGUAGACUUUAUUGAGGUUAAUGGAGAGAAUAGAUCUUUAAGACAAGGAGUAAUCGUUUAUAAUUAGUAAUGCUAUUUUUGUCUUUUUGAUUUUCUAGUUGCUUUUGACUUUGUAAUAACUUCUUGAUAUAUGAUUUUUGAUAUUAACGUAGAAUGAAAUAUCUGGUUUCUCUUGUUGUCAAUCUCAAAAUUAUUUUUUAGUUUUUGUACUUUUUUAGUACUCUGCUCAUUAGUAUGUCCUUUAUAAUGACAUACUUCUUUUGUCUAAGUUACUUAUUUUCUAGUAUAUUAUACUUUCUGAUUUUAGUUGAAGAUGUCACGUAGGGGAGGUGUUAAGAAUGCCUCUAGCUCGAGAAAUGCUUUAAGUGUCGCUGAUGACACUGACCCAACCUUACGUGAGAUGGCUAAUGAAGGUAAUCCUAUGAUGCGGGCAAUGAUUAGGCUGAUGGAACAGCAGAGCAAGCUGAUUCAUGAUAUGACUGGAAGUAGAGUUGGGACACAAAGGAAUGUGCCAGCUGUGAGGCAACGUUGUGAAAGAGACCAAGGAGCUAUAGUGAACCUAGAGCGAUUUAAAAAAUUAGGACCACCUACCUUUCAAGGAACUACCGAUCCUAUGGUCGUAGAGGCAUGGCUAAAACAGAUGGAGAAGAUAUUUGUGGAUAUGGGUUGUAAUGAUUAUCAUAGGGUGAUUUUGGCCUCAUUUGUCCUUCAGAGUAAGGCAGACCACUGGUGGGAUAUAAAAGCCUGUCUUUUGAGGACUGGGUUAAGAGAUGCGCCUAUCACUUAGGAGUUGUUUUUGGAGGCUUUUCAAGAAAAGUAUUUUCCUGAACGGGUUUAGCAUCAAAUGGAGGCCGACUUUCUAAAAUUAACUCAGGGAAUGAAAUCUGUCGCUGAGUAUGAGGAACAGUUUACGGCCCUAUCUCGUUUUGAUCCUACUUUGGUUGCAAAUGAGGGUAGCAAGUGUAGGAAAUUCCUAGAGGGAUUAUGUACAAAUAUCAAGGGGCGAUUGACUAUCCUUAAGCUUAAUAAUUAUGCUGAUUUGGUGGAUCGAGCCAUUCUUGUUGAGAAAGAUAUUUUUGAAGCUCAAGCCACAAGAGACCAAAGGAAUAAAAAAAUCGACAAGGCAGACAACGAGGUGGAGGUUCCUAUGGUCAAAACAAUGGGUAUCAAAAGCACGUUGGCGGAGGAAACAAAGAGAGUAACAAGGGUGUUCAUGACACCACUGCUUAGAAGAACUUUCCCACUUGUCUACAUUGUGGGAAGAGGCACCUUGGUGAAUUUUAUUGGAAAAUUGGAGCCUGUUUUGCUUGUGGAGAAGCUGGACACAUACUUAAAGACUGCCUAAAGAGACGUAGUGAAACUAUGAAAGCACAUACUGAUGAAGGACAGAGGAAGAAACCAAAGGUGCAAGAUCAUGUCUUUGCUUUAACCGAGAAAGAUGUUGAAUUUCUAAUGAUGUAAUAUCAGGUACAUUGUCCUUAUUCCCUAGAGAAGCUAAAGUUCUUUUUGAUCUUGGUGUUAUACAUUCAUUUAUAUCUUGUGUUUUCACUCGUUAUGCUGAUGUGCCUACCCAAUCACUAGAUCUUCAUUUGUCAAUUAGUACUCCUAUGGGUGAUUACAUGAUAAUAGAUCGUGUUUACAAUCUUGUAGGAUCAGCUUAUGUGAUAGGAAAUUUCUAGUAGAUCUCUUACCUCUGGAGAUGUAUGAUUUUGAUUUGAUAUUAGGGAUGGAUUGGUUAUGACCUUAUCAUGUUUCAGUUGAUUGUUUCGCUAAGGAGAUUAUUUUUCGGUUACCGGGAGAGGAAGAAUUUCAUUUCCAAGGUAAUCGAAAGAGUCAUGAGGGCUUAAUUUCAAUAGUUAAGGCAGAGAAAAUGCUAAAGAAAAGGUAUGAAGGGUUUUUAGCUUAUGUAGGCACUAAUCUUUCUAGUGAGGUAUGCCUUAGAGACAUACAUGUUGUACGUGAGUUUGUUGAUGUAUUUCCUGAAGAUCUUCCUGGUCUACCCUCUGAUCGGGAGGUUGAGUUAAUCCCUGGUGAUGCACCUAUUUCUAAAGCACCAUAUCAGAUGAUACCUAUAGAAUUGAAAGAACUAAAGGUGCAGUUGUAAGAGUUAUUAGACAAAGCCUUUAUUUGUCCUAGUGCGUCACUUUGGGGAGCCCCUGUGUUGUUUGUGAAGAAGAAAGAUGAUUCAAUGAGGUUGUGUAUUGAUUAUCGACAGUUGAAUUUAGUUACUGUCAAGAAUAGGUAUCCUCUUCCUCGAAUUGAUGAUCUCUUUGAUCAACUUUGAGGUGCAGUGGUAUUCUCUAAGAUCAAUUUACGAUCUGGAUACCAUCAAGUGAAAAUCAGAAAUGAUGAUGUAGGAAGACGGCUUUUUGAACCCACUACGGGCAUUACGAGUUUCUAGUUAUGCCUUUUGGGCUAACUAAUGCUCCUGCAGCAUUCAUGGAUUUGAUGAAUAGGAUUUUCCAACCUUAUCUUGACCAGUUUGUCAUAAUCUUUAUUGACGACCGAUUGGUUUACUCUAAAAGUAAAGAAGAGCAUGAGUUACACUUGAGGAUUGCGUUGGAGACAUUGCGAGAGAAGAAACUGCACGCAAAAUUUAAGAAGUGUGAAUUUUGGCUUGAUCAAGUGGCAUUUUUAGGGCAUAUAGUGAUGAAAGAUGGCAUUUCGGUGGAUCCUGUCAAAGUGGAGGCAAUUAUAAAUUGGGAGAGACCUUCUAGUGUCACUGAAGUGAGGAGUUUCUUAGGAUUAGCUGGAUACUAUAGACGCUUUGUAAAAGGAUUUUCUAGCAUUGUAGCACCAUUGACCAAUUUGACAAAGAAGAAUGUGAAGUUUACAUGGAAUAAGGCUUGUGAAAGGAGUUUCCAAGAACUUAAGAGUCGUUUGGUGUCUGCUCCUAUCUUUAUAGUUCCUUCUGAUGGUGGAGGUUUUUUCAUUUAUAGUAAUGCUUCUAAGAAACAAUUGGGUUGUGUUUUAAUGCAGAAUGACAAAGUUGUGGCUUACGCUUCUAAGCAGUUAAAGAGUCAUGAGCAAACCUAUCCGACUCAUGAUUUAGAGCUGGCAGCUGUAGUGUUUGCUCUAAAGAUUUGGAGACAUUAUUUGCAUGGAGAAACUUGUGAGAUCUUCACCGACCACAAGAAAUACUUGUUUACUCAGAAGGAGUUGAACUUAAGGCAGAAGAGAUGGUUAGAGUUGGUGAAAGAUUUUAAUUGUACUAUUAAUUACCAUCCUGGUAAGGCCAAUGUUGUAGCCGAUGCAUUGAGUAGGAAAUCAUCAAGGUGUAUGGCACAUCUUAUCACCUCACAAACUCAUUUAGUAGAAGAACUAAGAAGAUAUGGGAUUGAGGUAAUGAUUCGUGGGCAAGUAGACUUAUUAGCUCACUUAACAGUCCGACCUAUUCUGAUUGACAAAAUUAAAGCAGCCCAAAAGGUCGACUCAGAGCUAAGUAAAAUUCGUGAAGAGGCAAUCAAAGGGCGCAAGCCCGAAUUCAGAAUUGCUUAUGACAAUAUGUUAUGGUUAGGUCAAAGGCUUUGCGUACCAGCAGAUGAAGGGUUGAAGGCAGAAAUCUUAAGAGAAGCUCAUGAAUCAUCUUAUAGCAUGCACCCGGGUAGUACUAAGAUGUAUCGUGAUCUAAAAGGUAGUUUUUUGUGGAGAAAUAUGAAAGGUGACAUUGCUGCUUUUGUGUCUCGAUGUUUGGUGUGCCAACAAGUAAAGAUUAAACAUCAAAGACCAGUAGGAACUUUACAGACACUUCCUAUUCCGCAAUGGAAAUAGGAACAUAUUACUAUGGAUUUCGUGUCUGGAUUGCCUCGUGCUAAGACGGGUUGUGAUUCCAUCUGGGUAAUAGUUGAUCGUUUGAUGAAGUCAGCUCAUUUCUUGGCAAGAAGGAGUACGGACAAUGUGGGACAACUAGCUAAGCUAUUAAUGAAAGAAAUAGUAAGGCUUCAUGGUGUACCCGUGUCAAUUGUGUCCGAUAGAGAUCCGCAAUUCACUUCGAGAUUUUGGGCUAGUUUGCAUAAAGAAUUAGGGACGAAAUUGAGAUUCACCACUGCUUUCCAUCCACAAACAGAUGGACAAUCCGAAAGGACCAUUCAAACCCUUGAGGAUAUGCUUCGAGCUUGUGUUUUGGAUUUGAGUGGUGGUUGGGAAGAACACCUAAUGUUGAUCGAGUUUGCUUACAAUAAUAGCUUCCACUCAAGUAUCGGUAUGGCACCAUUUGAAGCACUAUAUGGAAGAAAGUGUAGGUCUCCAAUAUGUUGGGAUGAGGUUGGUGAGGGAAGGCUUUUGGGUCUAGAAUUAGUGCAAAUUACUGUUGAUAAAAUCAAGCUGAUUAGAGAAUGUCUUUGGACAACUCAGAGUAGACAACAGAGUUAUGCAGAUCGUCGUAGACGUGACCUAUAAUUUGAAGAAGGAGACUUUGUUUUCUU